RNAcentral lists this long non-coding RNA (49142 nucleotides) under Marmota monax (woodchuck). The stretch from base 20145 to 20214 matches the Rfam family "tRNA". The record is from RNAcentral. Lineage: Eukaryota; Metazoa; Chordata; Mammalia; Rodentia; Sciuridae.
CAGGAAAAUUCUUCUAACAUACUUUCAGAGUUAGAUGAAGAAUUUGAUAGUUUGUACUCUAUAUUGGAUGAUGUAAAAGAAAGUAUGAUUAAUAGUAUCAAGCAAGAACAAGCUCGUAAAUCACACGAGUUACAGGUGAGACCCUGCAGCUAUUUAAGUCUGAAUAUUCUAUUUAAUGCUUGAUGUGUUGAAAGCAAAAAUUAGUGAAUUUGUGAGUAUAACUAUACUUUUAUUCAAGAAUGGUUUUUAACUUUGCUCAAACUUUCUUUUUUAAAUUAUGGUUAAGAAAUAACAAAAUUUACUUUCAGAUGUUUUUUAAAUGUUGUAAUUAUGUUAUCAUGUAACAGAGCUUAAGAACUUUUAAAUUUUAUUACAAAGCUGAAACUAUGUGCCCCUUAAACAAAAACUCCUUAUUUUCCCCUCCUGCCAGCUCCUGGCAAUCAUACUGUUUCCUCUUCCAUUGUUUUGAUUACUCUUGAUAUCUCACAUGAGUAGAAUUGUAAAGUGUUUGUCCUUUUGUGAUACUGUUAUUUCACUCAGUAUAAUGUCCCUAGGGUUCAUCUGUGUUGUAGCAUGUAUCAAGAUUUCCUGUAUUUCUGGUUGGAUAAUAUUUCAUGUGUGUAUAUAUUUUCUUUUAUCCAUUUAUCUGUCAACGUUUGUGAUAUUUCUACCUCUUGAUUAAUGUGAAUAAUGCUUUGGUGAAUUUUGUUGUGCAAGUAUAAACCUAAGAUGCUCCUUUAAUUCUUUUGUUGUAUACCCAGAAGUCAGAUUGCUAAUCAUGUGGUAGUUCUCUUUUUAGUUUUUUGAGAAACUUUCAUAUUGUUUUCCAUAGUGGCUAUACCAUUUUACCUUCUUACCAACAGUACAUAAGAGUUCUGUUUUUUUCUACAUCCUCACCAACUUAUUUUCUGGGUUUUUUUUUUGUUGUUGUUUGUUUUGUUUUGUUUGAUAGUAGUUGUUUUUUUACAGUUUAGAUUUGCAUUUUUCUAAUGAUUAGAGAUGCUGAGCAUCCUUUUGAAUUGUUGAUCAUCUCUGUUGUUUUCUUUGGAGAAAUGCCUAUUCAGGUUUUUCCCCACCCCCAUAUUUUACUUUGCAUUUCGAGACAGAGUGUUGCUGAGUUGCUGAGGCUGAUCUCAGCAACUUUCGAUCCUCCUACCUCAACUUCCCGAGUCUCUGGGUUUACAAGUGUGUGCCACCAUAUCUGGCUAAGUUGUAGGAAUUUUUUAUACAUCCUGGGUAAAUAUUUUUUUUAAAUAUAUUUUUAGUUGUCAAUGGACCAUUAUUUUACUUAUUUAUAUGUUGGUGCUGAGCAUAGUGCCUCACACAUGCUAGGCAAGCACUCUCCCACUUAGCUACAAACCCCAGCCCAUUCUGGGUAUAUUUUAAUUUAACUAUUUAUCUAGAGAACUUCACUCAUGCUAGGCAAGGGCUGUAGUACUGAGUUAUAUCCCAUAACCUUACAUUCAGGAUAUUAACCCCUUAUCAGAAUUUAUUCCAAGUCCCAUUUAUCUGUUUUUGCUUUUGUUACAAAUGCAGUAUUGCAAUAUGUGGUGUAAUGAAGAUUUCCCCCUGUGUUUGAGCUUUAAGGGUUUUGUUGAGAAAGUUGGUGCCUACAUCUAUAUGAUGGAGUGUUGACCCCAUGUUUUCGUCUAAUGGUUGUAAACUUUCUGGUCUAAUUCCUAUGUCUUUGGACUAUUUCAGUUUGACUUUUGUGCAGGGUAAGAGAUAGGGAUAUGGUUUCAUUUUGCUACACAUAGCUGUCCAGUUUUCCCAGCACCAUUUGUUAAAAGUCUGUCUUUUCUCCAAAAUAUAUUUUUUGCACCUUUGUCAAGUAUCAGACGGCUAUAAGUAUGUGGGUUUAUCUCUGUCUUCUACUCUGUUCCAUUGGUCUUCAUAUUUAUUUUAAUGCCAAUGCCAUGCUGAUUUUGUUACUAUAACUUUGUAGUAUAAUUUCAGAUCAGGUGUUGUGAUACCUCCUGCAUCACUUUUCCUGUUGAUUAUUGCUUUGGCUAUUCAGGGUCUCCUUUUCUUUCAAAUGAAUUUAACACAUUUUUUUUCUAAUUCUGUGAAGAAAGUCAUUGGUAUUUUGAUGGGGAUUGCUUUGAAUCUGGAUAUUGCUUUUUGGUAGUAUGGCUUUUAAUGCAAUCUUAAGGGGAAAAUAAGUAGGCUUGAAUAUGGAAUAGAGACUAGUUAAAUAUUUUGAAGAAGAAUCUUAUAUACAUUUAAAAGCCUAGUAGUUGGUUUGUUUCUCUGUUUGUGGAAUCACUACCAAUCUUUUCACAUGACCUACAAUUGAGAAGGGAAGAAGAGAAAGUGAAAGAGAAAACUAAAUAAGAUUGUAUUAGGUGGAAUUAAUAUGUAAGCAUGAAUACUGAGCAUAUCACUAUAACAGUUCCUCUCUUUUGUUUCUCUUCAUUCCUAUUUAAUUCUAGGUACUUGACUUGUAGUUCUUGUGCUAUCCAGUCUUGGAAAUUUUAAUUAAUAUUUCAGUAGUAUGCAUUUCUUGAAUAGUGUGAUAAGUGAUGCUCAACUUGAAUGUACCUGCACCUCAUUUCACAAACUUUAGCUUAAAUAGUUAUCAUUAAGAAAUUUAGUCUUCAUUACAGAGGAUGUUGUCUUAAGGUAGAUUGUUAUUUUAAAUUGUAGAUAGUUUUCUGACUACUUUUAUUAGUAGAGAAGAAUCUUCAAAUAAAUUUGGCCCCAGUAGUUUAUAAUUCUUUUCUUUUUUGUUUUAAAUUCUAUCUUUAUACAUACAAAGCUAAGCUUUUUACAUAAAUUAUGGAAAGAAAUACAAAGUAUUAAAAUAAUAUAAGCUUAUUGAAUAUAUGACUGGUCAUGAUUAUCUUGCUUCAGCAGCUCUCUGAAUUUUUUUUCAUUACUGCUAUUAAAAUCAUUUAUAAAUUUAUUAUAACAAUGUAUAUUUUAAAUUUCUGGUGGCAAUAAGAAACUUCAUAUUAAUGAUUUAGGUUUUUUUCCCCCUUAGAAUCAGCUUAGUCAAUGUAAUAAUGCCCUGGAGAAUUCUGAAGAAUUGCUAGAAUUUGCGACAAGGUCCUUAGAUAUAAAGGAGCCUGAAGAUUUUUCAAAGGUACAAAAAAAAACACUUAUGAAAAAAAUUUACUCUAAUACACUUUAUAAAGGAGUUAACUCCUUUAGUUUUGGAUUUGUUUAUUCAUUUCUUUUUAAUUUAUUUUAUUUUUUCCCUUUUUUUUUCAUUUUGUUGUUCAGUCAUUUCUAAUGUUGAAGAAGCUUGGGAUUUCUGGAUAAUUAAAAUGCAAACUUCUCAAGCUGCUUUGUUUUAAAGGAGACACUUAUUAGUAUGUAUCUUUGGGAUCAUGAAAACGUUAACUAUUUUAGUUUAAUUUUUCUUUACUAUUCAAUUCAGAUGAAUCAAGUUACUUUCCUUUUAGUUAUAUCUCUAUUGGUAAUUAUUUAAAGGUACUUAUGUACUUGAAUGGAGUCAUAUCUUUCUUUUAGACUUUUCAUGACCGAGGAAAGAAGAUUGGUAUUACCAUUGAUGUGGUUCAAAACUAGUUUUCUAAGAGUUGAUUGGGAAAACAUUAUCAAUUGAUACAUAUAAGCAUUGUAACCCUGUGAAACUUCUUAUUGGAGACAAAUGUCCUGUUAUUUAGCCUAAUUAAUUGAAUGUUUUAUUAAAACAUGAAAAAAUAGGUCCUUGUUAAAGAGUAUGUUUGGAUGGAAAUAAAAGGAGUAAAAGCAGGUAGCUUAGCUUGCUUCUGUUUUAACUUAGAGUCUCUCAUUUAAAGGAUUCUUAUUUUAUUAUUUUUUUAAUUUUUUAACUUUUUUUUUUUUUUUUUAGUUUUUGGCGGACACAACAUCUUUGUUUGUAUGUGGUGCUGAGGAUCGAACCCGGGCCACAUGCAUGCCAGCUGAGCGUGCUACUGCUUGAGCCACAUCCCCAGCCCCUAUACUUAUUUUAAAUAGGGUGAUUUUAAAAUGAUUUUCAGUUUAUCAAUUUAAAACUCAAGGAUGUAGAAUUAGCAAAGACAAGGUAUGAACUAGGGGAAAUUAAACUAUAUAAUUAACAAAAUGUUACUGUAUAGUUUAUCAGGAUUAGAUUUAAGUUUGAUGUUCCUAAUUGUGGACUAGGCAGUGAAUUUUAUUAAUGUUAGAAAGGUACUUUUUAUAGUCCAUUUGUAUCUAGUCAGUGUUUUCAUUCUAUGACUUUCCUGUGAACUUGAGGUAGAAAAAAACUCCUUGAUAACAUUUUUACCCUAAAUCUUUGCAUUUUUAAAGAUGAACUUUAAAAAUUAAUUUAUUCUUUUAACAACAUAAAUCAAAGUAGACUACUACACUAAUUAAUUCUUAGAUUUGUAGGUGAGUUGUAAAAAGUUUACCGUUGCAUUUGUAGGACUUGCUGUGAAAAGGAAUUAUGAGGAAACUUUUUCUUCAAAAUACUUUAGUGUAGUAUGAGAUGUCCCCUAUAUACAGGGCAUUCACGUGAUAAACUUAAAUAUCUGGAACAUAGCCAAGAAACAUGCAGAAAGUAAAAAAAAAAUAAUAAUAUUUUGAGUCAUCAAAAUCAUUGUUAUAUGGAGUUCAUGAACAGGAAUUUAUAUUCCCUGUUCACAAUGAUGACUCAGAGUCUGUUGACUAUUAAUUUGAACACGGUUCUUCUAAUUUUUAGGGUGUUUUUUAAUAAUUCCUACUUGUCAACAGAUUCCCCUUCUGGUGGAGUAGGGUAACUGUUUCUGGCCAGUUUAAUCCUAACAGCAGGAGUUAGCCCUAGAGUGAAGAAGACAGGAAAACUAAAAAAUGUGAACACAAGAACUCAGUUGUGUUUAAAUAGGACUAUUACUUGGAAAAACUGUGAUAAAUGUUUAUUUAUUUCAAGUUUCUCUUUUUGUUGACAUUUUCAGUAUAGUUCUCUCCUCUUCCUCUCAAAUGCUGCACAUUUCUCUUUCUCUCUUCUUUGUUCUUUCUAUUUUUAAAUUUUUUUCCCAAAAAUUGUAAAUUGGAAAGGUUCUGAUAAAUCACAUUGUGGUUUAAAAAUAUUUUCUUAAUAUGCCACUUUGUUUUUUCAUUAUCUAAUUUGGUCUCUUCUCCCAGCAUUUUAUAGUACUUCUUUGUAUCUUAAACCAUUUGGAGAGGUGAAGAAAUGAAUUGUCAGUCUUUCCUAACCAGAAAUGUGAGUUUAUUCAAGAAAAAUUCUUAACUGCUUGAAGUUAUUUUCUUAGUAUCACUUCCUUAUCCAUCUGCAGUGGUCUGUAGGCCUGCUUCAAACACAUAGUUGUUGACAAAAUAAAGAGAGGACUUUUAAGAUUAAUUAUUAGACCAAUAGCAUAUUGUUAUAUCUGGAAAAAGAAAUUCUUUUAAGGCAUACUAUUUGUGAAUAUUUAAGUGCUUAAAUCAAAUUAAUAAGAAUAGUUCAUGGGAACAAAAACAAAUGAUUAAGGAAAAAUCCAGGCAACGGGUCCUAUCAUACUUCUUAUCUUUAAGAGUAUCUUACUACUAAUAUUUACAUUAUCAUGUUGCCUUACAUCAGCAUGAAGCUGCUCUGUUCACCACCAUCAUACAAUCUCAAAGUAAGCAAAUAGAAAUAGCACAAAUAGGAUGGGAUUUUUGAACAUAUUUUUACUUAAAAAAAAAAAAACCUACUAGAAGUUUGAUUGAUAGUAAGUAUAUGCAGAACGAUCACCAGCAAAUGGGAUACAAAUUAUUAGGUUUAUUGCUGGAUGAACAAGUUGCCAAAGCUCUACCAAGUCUGACCUUUCUGCUAAUAACUUGCCUGUGGAACACUGCUUGGAUCCUUUUCUUCAGAUGAUAUUCUUAUUCUAACCCUGAAUGUAGACCUUGAAUUCUCCCUAUGAAAAGAGUUGGGUCAGCAGAACAGUUUCCAAGUCAAUAUAAUUAAUUUGCCACCUCAUUACAAUGCAGUUGUCAGACUAGAAGUGAGCGAAUUGUUUCCUACCCAUGAGUGCCCACAGUAGAAUAAAAAGUGCAGAGUAGGGUAAAAGGGGAGCAGUGCCUUCUGCAUUUUACCACAGAUAAAUACAUUAAAGUGGGUUUAAUAUAUUUCUCUCUUCUAACUCAAAAUAACUCACUACUGGAAUAUUGUUCAGCAAGUGUCAGGCUCUGGCCACUGGGAGGAGAAAACAAGAAAAGAACUCACGCAGCACUUUCAAGGGAAAAUUAUUGGCGGAAGCUACUCAUGUUGGUUGAAGUCAGGAAUGCUGGGAGAGGAGAGGACCUUCAACAACAUUCUUUCAUUUUGAAGGCAAUUUAAAAACAAAUAUUUAUUAUGUAUAGCUCAAUCUAUAGUUUUCACCUUUAUAUGAAUUCCUCAGUUUCAAAGUUUGUUUCAAGUUAUUUACUGUGAUUUUGUGACAAAUACUUUUUUUUUUUUUAAUUUUUUAUUGUGGGUUGUUCAAAACAUUACAAAUUUCUUGACAUAUCAUAUUCCACACUUUGAUUCAAGUGGGUUAUGAACUCCCACCUUCACCCCAUACACAAAUUGCAGAAUCACAUCAGUUACACAUCCAUUGAUUUACAAAUUGCCAUACUAGUGAGUGACAAAUACUUUAAACAAUUGUGAUUUUUAAAAGUUCUUUUGUGAACAGAUAAAUAUAUGUGUAAAAAAUAUAAAACUUUUGAUGUAUGGAGUCAUUAGAAGGAUGAUGAUUUUUAUCUAAAGGAAAAUAGUAUUUUGAAACUACCUCUUUUUUUCCCCUUUGUAUAACAAGACAAAAAUGAUAAUAUUACGAAUAAAUGUAGAAGUAAUGAGUUGUUUCAGAGACCUAAAUAGUGAUGUUGAGUAGUGAUGUAACUAAUGACUAAUGCUUCUUAGAAGCUUUCCAGUGAUAUACAAUUCCAUAACCUAAAAUAAGUUUAAGCAUUUACUGAGACUUCUUCAUAACUCGUUAAAUGGAGUUAUGCAGAUAAAAAAUAAAUAUGCAAGCAGCAGAGCUAUGGUAAAUCCUGGGAUCAGUUGGUACUUAAUUCUUAAUUAAGUACCAGAUGCUUAAUUCUUAAUUAAUAAAAUUUAUCAUUCUUGAAAUUGAAAUAGAGGAAUCAAGCUGUGUAGUAAUAUGUAUCUUUUGGUUAGCUUUCUGCUUUGGGAGAAGAAAUUCUAGAAAAAAUUUAUUUUCCAUUUUAAGACAUUUCUUAAAAUUGGACACUUUUAGAGAAAUAUCUUUAGAUUUUGAAACUUUUCUUUCUUAUUGUACAAGAUAAUUUCUUUUUUUAUGGUGCUGGGGAUUGAACCCAGGGCCUUGUGCAUGCAGGACAAGCACUGUACCAGCUGAGCUAUAAUUUCUUAAAUUCUGCCUUCAUACAGUAUACAUACAAUAAAAUUUGACCUUUGGAAGAGGAGUCACAGAAUUUUCAAUUUUAUCAACAUAUAAAUAUAUGAGAAAACCCUUUUUCCUAGAUUAUCUGACUUUUCAACUAUUCCUUUACUGUUUUUUCACAAUGUGAUAUAUGAAAUAAUACCAUAAAAACUUUGCAUGCAUGCAUAUGUGCACAUACACACAAACACGAAAAAUGAUUCACUAAAUUAAGCAACACUAGACAUAAAAAAGAAUCAUCUUGGUCAGUUUAAAAAAUAGUAAUGAUCUUCAUAUCAUUGGGUUAUAUAAGGGAGAUCGAUAAGUAGCAUUCCUCCAACAAAGUUCACAACCAAUUAAGAGUUAAGGUAAAACAAUAAAACUGAUAAAAGGCCAAAUGCUGAUAAUAUAAUAUUGUAUAAUAUGAGUUAUACCAUUGGGCAAGUUUCUUAGUAUUGAAUCCCAGAAUUAGACAGACUAGCCCUCCCACAUUUGUUCAACAGUGGCUACCUCAGUUUACUGUGGGUGGGAGUCCUCUUUCAGUGAAACUGAAAGCAGAGAGGGAAGGAACACAACAUGUAUUCUCUGUGGGCAAACAAACUGCCAGAAAAAGUGGAAGAUACUGAACUUCUCAUUUCUAUUUUGUCCUUUCAAACUCAUAAUCAAAUAAGUCAUAUUACUUACCAAGAAGAAAUGAGGGACUAGAAAGGUUAAAGGAGUAAUGCUAAUGGCAUUUCCUCCAUGUGUAAAGAAAUAUCAGGUACAGAGGAGUCCCCUCUUUCCCUCCCUUGUAUUUAAGAUCUUUGUUUUGUAAUUCUAGCUAUGACAGUAAUUUUUAAAAAUCAGUAUAAUUAACUUUCUUUACAUUUCUUAUCCCUGGUACCAAACUAGUUUCAUGUCUUAAAACACAUAUAGAUGCCUUCCACAGAAUUGGACUGUUUGCUGUAGAAUAAAGACCUUGGAAAGAACUUUUAGAAUCAUUAAGGAUCAAAAUCCCUUAGUAAAGAAAUAAAAUGAUUAGUAUACAAGGUUACAGAGUUGGAUAAUGGUAAUGCUGGAACUGUGUAACAUAAUUAUCUCUGAAAUCUCAGUGAUAUUCAGACUAAAAUAUUUUAGGGUGGUUAUAAAAGUGACCAAAAGUAGAAUCAGUGUUAGAAUUGAAGGAGAAAGGCCAAAGAAGCAUAGCUAUAUACAUCUAAUUAACAUUAAAUUUAAUUAAAUAAUACUAUUACUGCAUACCAGGCAUUAUGCUAGGCACUAGGGAUAGAGUUUUCAGCAAAAUGGCCAUGUUCUACCUUUGAUAUAUUAUUAACUGUGCUUAAUAGUGUGAGAGAAAACUUUUGGCUAUAUUAUAUUGUAUACAAAUGUAAAAGGCCAAUAGUUUUUGCAUUUUCAUUGUUUUUCCAUGAUUGGACCAACACCAAGUUAUAACUCUGUCCCCUUCUUAAACUUGUACCUAAAAAAAAAUAAGACAUAUGUAUAAUAGGUUAAAGUUUGCAGCUUCUGUGAAAUCACCUGAGGGAAAGAAAGACCCCAUUUCUAGAAGUACUUCUCUGGUCCCUCCUCAUCUGAAUUUCUGGCACUACAACCUAAUUCUUUGGGGUAAAAGACUCGUAAGCUGCAGCCUAGUUUUGUACAUUAGCAGGCAAACUCUAGAAUGCAAAGUUCUUAUCUACUCAAACAUCUCUAAAGAAAAAUUAAAGAACAGAUUUGACAUGUACAAGAAAAAUCACUAGGAUGCACAGAAGUGUGUGUCCCAUAAAGAGAUUUAUUCUAGUUGAAAAAUGUCAGACUGAAUGAAAUGGAGGUGUGUUUUAAUGACCUUAAGGUAAGAAAAAACAUUUAAAGUCAUUUAGAAUUAGUUUGGAGUGUUUUUCUCCUUUUAAGGGAUUUAUAUGGGGUCUGGUUUUUCUAUUAAGUUCUAACAUCACAUCAUGCAAACUUAUGUGAACGGUACAGAUUUUCUGUAAUUUAUGUUUUGGUGAAUAUGAACAACUAAUCUAUUGCAGGGUUUAUAUCCUAACUUUUCUUGCAUGUCACUGCCAUUGAAACUCGCAUGAAAAGCACUAACUACCUUCUUUCUCUUCUCCCUGAUUUGCUUCAAGGCUGCCAGACAGAUCAAGGAUAGGUAUGGUAUAAAAACUAUAUUUUAUUUAAGUAUCAAUAUUGAAGUCAGAAAUGAAAUUCAGAAAUAGUUUUUUAUUAGAAUUUUGGUUUAAAUAAAAAUGCCCAAUGGCCAAGUAUUUUUACAAAAUAAAGAUAUCUCUAUAUCCUCUUGGGGUAAUCAGUAAGAUUUUUUUAAAAAAAAUGUGUUUCAAGAACAUAGUUAUGGACAAUUAUGUGCUUCCAAAAGAAUUUCAUUUCUGGUAUAAUAAUAUAGUUAGUUUUAGAAAAGUUCUUAACUAGUUGUAUUAGUGGAGAGGGUACUAUUUUGAAUAAUUUAAAAAUAAGUAUUCCUGGAAUGCAUUUUCAUUGUUUUUAGAUUUAAAUAUAAGCAGAUCUUAUUUUCAGAGAAGUCACAGUAUUUUAAAAUAAGUCCUCAAUAGCUAAAGUUCUUAUACUUCACUCUUUAACACCUUUGUAUUCUCAUUCUAUCCUGUUCCUGGUGCCAUCUCUUUCUGUUUCUAAUGCCAUCACUAUCUAGUUUAUGUUCUGUGGGAAGAGAAAAUUAUUAAAGACGUUAGCUUAGAAUGUUUUUCUCAUUGGUAGAGGUAAUAAUAAAAAAGAGAACUUAGCAGUUGCAAAAUGAAUAUAUCAGAAUGCUUAAAUUGCUGCUGGCUACAUUUGGAUUGUGUUCACACAGCAGGAAUGGAUUUGGUCUGCUUGACCAGUCAUUGAGCAUUGUCUGUAGAGAGAACAUAACUUAAGGUUCUUCAUCUGAGGAUCAUAAGAAUUUCUGAAAGGCAAAGCUCUUCAAACAUUAUUCUGAAUCUUAUAUUAAAUUGUUGUUCAUCAGAUAAUUCAUGAAAAUACUCCUUUUGGAUUGUAUGAAAAAAACCAGUGUAGCCAUUGUUAAUUUUUGCAGGAAUUUUCAAUUCUGGUUUCUCUUAUUUUUUAAUUUGACUAGAAGGCAAGAUUUACACAGUAGUAAAAGCAUUUUUAGCACAAAUAUUAAUUUUUUAUCUUUUAUAUUUUACAUCAGGUAGUAGUUAAAGGUAUAGGUUGUUCUUAUACAUCCUGGAUAUAGAAAAAAGAUUAUGAGAAGUUUUUAUUUUAUUUUAUUUUUUCAUUGUUUUUUUUAAGAGACAAGGCCUCAUUGUGUUGGCCAGCUGGACCCAAACUCCUGGGCUCAAGCAGCCCUCUUAUCUGAGCUUCCAAGUAGUUGAGAUUAUAGGCACAUGCCACCAUUCCUGAUGUGAUUAUGAGAGGUCAAAGGUGAAACAUUAGCAAUAUGAGUAAUGACUAAUACAAUAGUUUAUUAAUGAAGUAGAUUUGAGUUGUGUCUGCUGGAAUUUGCUAUGAGCAAUCCAAAUUCCAUUCUGCCUAGAUUAUUUUUCCUGUUUAGCUACUAUUCUGUUACAUUCUCCUCUGGUUCCUUAUUUUUUGUAUUAGAAGUCACUUCCUAAUCAGACUUUGGGCUGUCCAAAGACCUUGUGAGAGACCUUGCAAAAUCUUCAUUUCAAGAUUCUGUAUGGUUUUGCUUCCCAGAAUUCUGUCCUUAUUCCUGAUCUCUUUCUCUUUGUCCAGAUUUGGCAUAAUUUUAUUUUAUGAGCACCUUUCAUGACUGUAUUCUUCACUGAAGCUUGACUUUACUUCCUCUUCUCAGCCAGCAGGCCAGGAUUCCUUAUUUCUGUUAGGGAAAAUUUCACUUUUUAAUUUGUUUUGCUCAAAGUUUAUAUAUAUAUUUUUUUAUUUUUUGGCUACUUUCAAAGUAUUUGCUUCCUGCCUGAGGAGUAUUUCUGGGUCUUAGCUUAAUUAUUUAAACACGAUUUUAGCUUCAUAAAACCCAGAUUUCCCUAAUAUAGUUUCUGAUCUCUCAGAAAACGAGUUUCUAGAAUUCCAUCAUUACCUUUUGUAGUAUGAAAAUAGUUUUAAAAUAUAGUCAUAAUGAAAUAUUGUUUCAUCAAGCUAAGAAGGGAUUAUUCUCUUAUGUAAAGAUGAAUUUUAAGGAAGAGUUUAAAAUCUGAGCAAGGAAUCAUAUUUUUAAAAAUGACCAAAUUAUAUUGUUGUAUUAUGUGCAUGUACAAAGAUGUAACAAUAAAUUCCACUAAAAAUUUUUAAAAUGAACUAAAAGUAUAUUGAAACUUCAGUAUCAUUUGCUAUGAUUUAAGGUAAAAGAAUGGCAGGAGUGAGAAGGAAAACUGAAGACUGAGAAAUAAUACAUGGCAUAUUUCCAAAAAUUUAAAAUCACUGGUGUAUAACUUAGGGAACUUGGUAAUUUGGGAAGAUGAUUAGUUGAGAGAGAGAGUGAGUGAGUGAGUUAUUGCUGGGUGUGAUGGCACACUGAGAAAGGGGGAAUCAUAAUUUUAAGGCCAGCCUCAGCAAUUUAGUGAGGCUCCACACAACUUAGCGAGACCCUGUCUCCAAAAAAAAAAAAAAUUAAAAAGAGAUGAGGAAUGUAGCUUUAUUGGUAAAGUGCCUCUGAGUUCAAUUCCCAGUAUACCCCCCACAAAAAAAAAAAAAAAAAAAAAAAAAAGGAGAAAAGGAGAGAAUUAUUGGUUCUUGGAAGAGAAGGAUCAUGAAGAGGAGAGGCAAAUUAGGUUGUCUGAGAAAAUUAAAUGUGUUCAUGUGUUUUAUAUAGUUGCUUUAUCUUUGCAAAAAGAAGGAAGCCAUCCUUGAGUUCAGCUGAUACUAUUAGAAGUAAACUCAUAAGCAAGUCAAGGUGAAACAUGCUUAACCACAUGAAUCUCUAGAGAUGAUUUAGAAAUUUGAGAUUUGUAAUUUGGGCUUUGAGGCACAUUUGUUUAAAUAUAUUCAGUUUAAAAAUAAAAGAUAUUGAAAGAGUGUAGCAUGGUUGCAUAUUUGAAUUGAUUCAUUUGAACUUUUAAGUUUUCAUUGACUAGGAACCAGUUUUAUUUUAGGCUUUGCUAAACCUUUCUAAUCCACUUUUGGUAGACAUUCUUUUUGUUUGUACUUAUAGUGAUUAAAUCAAGUUUUAUAGAUUUUUCAGGUUUCAUAUUUUAAAUUUUCUAAAAUACUUUCUGAUAAUUUCCCUCAGCAUUUCUCGUUAAAGAGUCAUGUUGUUUAUCAGGCUUAGAAGAAACCAAGUAAGUUCAAACCCAUUCACUGAUUUAGAGAGUGUUUAGUAAGAACCUAUUUUAAUGUAACUCUUACUGAUGUCUUCAAAGGAUACUUGAGACUAUAAAGAACAACAUACAAGACUAAGCGUUUAUUCCUAACUUCUUGAUAUAAUUUGAAAUUUAUUAUUUGAGAAUAAACAGCUUAAUGUAAUAAGUGUGGAAUACUAGCAUUAUAUUUGUCAAUACAGUAAGCAGUCAUUUUGAGUUCUCUUCCCUAUAAAUUGAUUUUAAUGUAGUACUUUCUUUUUGGUAAAUAAAUCAACUGUUUAUUCAUUGUUGUGUAGUGAUUACUUUUUUAGUUGUAAAUAACUGAAAACAGCAACAUUUUGACAUUUUUCAUUUCCAAAUAAGUGAAUACAUCUCUGUCUUGGUUAGAUUUGAUAGAUCUGAUUGACUAGGCGUGGCCUGGUUCCCUUUGUUCUUCCAUCUCUAUUUACUUUCUCUCCCAAAUUAGGUACUAGGAGAAUGCAUUCAUGAAUAGUGCUUCUGUGUACCAUUCUUUGAUCAAAGAUUAUAAAGGACUUUGUAACACCUGUGGAAAUUUACUGUUAAUUUGAAAUAUAAUGAUAGUAAAAGGGUUUUUUUUGAUCUCUAGUUUUAAUUGAAAAUAGUUUCCUUACACUAUUGACAAAUUAAGAUCUAGCUUGGCUUCAUUCUUUUUUUUAACUUCACAUUCAUCUAGUAAGUGUUUGUUGAAGUCCUAUUAUUUCCAUGGCAUGUAGUUCCAUGGGGCUGUUUCUCUUAAUAUCCUUCCAUGUAUGUAGCUAAUGCUGACAGAUCAGUGACCUCUGCUGGUAUGAUAUUCACUGGUCAUGAUUUCACCUUUUUCCUUUCUCAUCCAUGGCAUGUCUUUAACAGGUACUACUAUACUAUACAAUAUUAUAUCCAUCUGCUUCAAUUCUUGUUGUAGGGCACACGAUGUAGCUAUUACUACAGGGGAGAAUGUUUGAAUCAGGUUGUAUAUACACUUCACUAUUUGGCAUGUGAAAAGGAGUGGGGGUGGCAUCAGGAGGUCAGUAUGAUUGAGUGUACAGAGGUUCAGAUGAAGGUUGGGUCUGGUAAGGAUUAUUUAUAUGGGAUAUUUCUUUUAUUGAUAUUGGCACAUUAUACGGUUGUAUAAAACUGGAUGGAAUUGCUAAGUUAUCUUAGAGGUCUUUAAAAGGCAUUUUUCAGAUUUUUACUUAAUUUUCAAAAGACAGAUUUAUAUUUGACUGUUCUAGUCUCUGAAAUCAUUAGAAUGAAAUAAUUUUUGUCUUUUCAUUUUAUACAUUAAAUGAUUUGAUACUUCUUGUUCUUCUGUUUUAAAAAGUAUAUUUGUGUUUACCAUAGAGUCACAAUGGCUUCAGCCUUUCGCCUUUCUUUGAAACCAAAGGUCAGUGACAGCAUGACUCACUUAAUGGUGGAUUUCUCUCAGGAAAGACAGAUGCUGCAAACUUUGAAGUUUUUGCCAGGUAAACAGCAUGUAUUACAUGUACAGUUUUUAAUAAAAAUUUUUCCUGCAAUGCUUUUCUGUAAUGAACAUUGGUAUAUUAAAGAAGCAUAGUGUGAUUUUUUUUCUUCAUUCCACUAAAUAUUUAAAUUUGGUAGUCUUUAUUUUUAGAGAAUUAUUUUACUGGUAGUAAAUAUUCUAUUUCAAGAAUACCAUUAAGGAGUAUCAUUUGAUGGUUAACAGUGGGUCUUUAGACCAAACUUUUUUAGAUUUGAAUUUUGCUGUAUACUUGCCAUGUAAUCCUGAACAAGUUAUUUGACUUGCCUCAUUUCUGCUUCUUUAGAAUGUGAUAUUAUUCUAGGGUUUUUGUAAGGAUUAAAUGAAUUGAUACUUCUAAGGCAUUUGUAUAAUAGUAUAUGGCACAUAGUUAAAGCUCAGAGGAUGUUAGCUGUUGGCAUAUUAUGUGAUUGUAUAAAGCUGGAUGGAAUUGCUAAGUUAUCUUAGAGGUCUUUAAAAGGCAUUUUUCAGAUUUUUACUUAAUUUUCAAAAGACAGAUUUAUAUUUGACUGUUCUAGUCUCCAAAAUCAUUAGAAUGAAAUAAUUUUUGUCUUUUCAUUUUACAAAUUAAAUAUAUAUGUAUAUAUAUAUAUAUAAAAACAGCAGAUUGUAUUACAAUUCAUAUUACAUAUACAGCACAAUUUUUCAUAUCUCUGGUUGUAUAUAAAGUAUAUUCACAACAAUUCAUGUCUUCAUACAUGUACUUUAGAUAAUGAUGUCCAUCACAUUCCACCACCUUUUCUAACCCCCUGCCUCCUCCCUUCCCUCCCACCCCUCUGCCCUAUCUAGAGUUCGUCUAUUUCUCCCAUGCUCCCCUUCCCUACCCCACUAUGAAUCAGUCUACUUAUAUCAGAGAAAACAUUUGGCAUUUUUGGGGGGGGAUUGGCUAACUUCACUUAGCAUUAUCUUCUCUAACUGCAUCCAUUCACCUGCAAAUGCCAUGAUUUUAUUCUCUUUUAUUGCCAAGUAAUAUUCCAUUGUAUAUAUAUAUAUGCCACAUUUUUUUUUAUCCAUUUAUCUAUUGAAGGGCAUCUAGGUUGGUUCCACAGUUUAGCUAUUUUGAAUUGUCCUACUAUAAACAUUGAUGUGGCUGUGUCCCUGUAGUAUGCUGUUUUUUCGUAUAGACCAAGGAGAGGGAUAGCUGGGUCAAAUGGUGGUUCCAUUCCCAGUUUUCCAAAGAAUCUCCAUACUGCUUUCCAUAUUGGCUGCACCAAUUCCACCAGCAAUGUAUAAGUGUGCCUCUUCCCCCGCAUCCUCGCCAGCACUUAUUUUUGUUUGUCUUCAUAAUAGCUGCCAUUCUGACAGGAGUGAGAUGAAAUCUUAGAGUAGUUUUAAUUUGCAUUUCUCUAAUUGCUAGAGAUGAUGACAUUUUCUCAUAUAUUUGUUGAUUGUACAUCAGAAGAAAGAUAUACAAAAAUUAACUAAAAUGCAUCAAAGACCUUGCAAUUAGACCAGAAACUAUGCAACUUAUAGAGGAAAGCAAAGGUCAACACUCCAGCAUAAAGGACAGGUAAUGAUUUUUUUCAUUAGGACCCCUAAAGCUUGGGACAUAAUGCCAAGAGUUAAUAAAUGAAAUGGUAUUAAAUUAAAAAGUGCCUGCACAGCAAAGGAAGGAGUAAUGUGAAAAAAGAACCUACAGAAUGGAGGAAAAUCUUUGUUAGCUACAUUUCCGACAGAGAAUUAAUACCUAGAAUAUAUAAAGAACUCAAAAAGGUUUGCACCAAAAAAACCACCUAAUUAAUAAAUGGGCAAAUAAAUUAAACAGAAACUUCAUAAAAGAAGAAAUAAAAUGGCCAUUCACACCAGUCAGAAUGUCAGUCCUCAGGAAUUCAAACAAUAAUAAAUGCUGGAAAGGAUGUGGAGAAAAAGGAACACUUACACUGUUGGUGGGAUUGUAAAUUAGUACAUUCACUAUGGAAAUCAGUAUGGAGGUUCCUCAAAAGACGAGGCAUGGAAGCACCAUACGACCCAGCCACAAUAUUUAUCCCAAAGAAUUAAAGUCAUCAUAGGGAUACAGUCAUACCCAUGUUUUUAUAGCAGCACAAUUCACAAUAGCCAAACUAUGGAACUAGCCCAGGUUCCAUCAACAGCUGAAUGGAUACAGAAAAUGUGGUAUAGAUACACAAUGGAUUUUUAUUCAAUCACAAAAAAUUAUUUAUUUGCAGGAAGAUGGAUGGAAUUUGAAACGAUUAUGCUAAGCAAAAUAAGCCAAAGUCAGAAGAUCAAGGGUCAUGUUUUCUCUCAUAUAUAGAAGCUAGAGAGAAAAAAGGAAAAGAAAGAUAAGGGGUGAUCUCAUGAAAAGCAAAGGGAGACCCGCAGAGUAGAGGAAGGUAGGCCAGCGGGUGAGAGGAGGGGAGGAAAGGGGAAAGCUCUGGGGAAAGAUAUUGAUCAAAUUAUAUUGUAACAACAGAUUCACCAUUAUGUACAAAUACAAUGCACCUGUAAAAAAGAAAAGUAGCUCCUUUUCAUUUCAAACUUGGUUUUCUUCCUAGAACAAUGUAUGAGUGUGCCUUUUCCUCCACAGAGGGUACCACUGUUACUAACAUCUGUUUAUCUUUCCUGAAAUAGUCUAAAUCUAUACAAACAUCACCACAUGUAUAUGCAGAAUCAGGUAGUUGCUAAUAUUUGGCAGUUUUUACCCUCAAAAAGAUAAAUUUGUUUCAUUCAGUCUAAUAUAUAAUCCACCCCCUUUUGAAAAUGGAAGCAUACAUAUACACUGUUAAAUACUUUCUCUUUGCCACUUGACAAUAUGUAGGAGUUCUUUCCAGAUCAUUAUAGAUCUACUUCAUUUUUAAAAAAAUAACUAGAUAGUAGGAAUUUAAUUAGUUCUUCUUGAUGGAUAUUUAAGUUUAUGGUCUUUUUCUAGUAGUGGCAAUGAUGUGGUAACAAAAUGCUUAGGUAUUUUGCAGAGAUAAUAUAUCAAUAUGUCUCAAGGAUAAAUUUCUAGAAAUGGAAAUGUAUGUGUAUUUUAAAUUUUAAUAAUUAUUUAAAUUGUCAAGGAAAUUUCACAAUUUAUGCUUCCCUGAAAAUAUUUGAAUGACUGUAUUCUUAUACAGCCACAGUUUUCAGAGUUUUUAAUUUUUUUCAUUCUAUUCUAAUAGUGACAUAUGGGUUAUCUGAUUGUUUUAAUUUUCAUUUCUUUAAGUGUGAAUGUAUUUAUCCUAUCUUCAUAAGCCACUUUAAAAAAUGAACUCCUUAUCUAUGAUUUUUCAUACAAUGGUUUAUAUUUUCAUUAAUGAUAUAUAGCACCUUUUAGUAUAUUAAGGAGGUUAGCCUUUGGUCCUAUAUGUGGCAUAAUUCCCUCUUAGUCAUUUGUCUAUUGGUUUAUAAUGAUUUUUUUUUCCUAGCAGAAAUUUUAAUUUUUAUAUAAUCAAAUAUGUCACACUUUUUCUUUGUGACUUUUAGGUUUUAGAAAGACCUUACUUGGACCUUCCCCAUUGCAAGAUUAUAAAAAUAGAUAUACUUACUUUUUUUAAUAUUCUUUUUUGGUUGUAGAUGGACACAGUACCUUUAUUUUAUUUAUUUAUUUUUAUAUGGUGCUGAAGAUCAAACCCAGUGCUUCUCACAUGCCAGGCAAGCUCUCUACCACUGAACCACAACCCCAGCCCCUAGAUUCAUUUUCUUAUGUUUGUAGCCUUUUAAAACUAGACUUUAAUAUUUAGAACAAUUUUAGAUACAUAGUAAAACAAUGGAAAGUAUGAGAAUUUCCCAUAUACCCACAAAACAUGCUUAGCUCCCUCAUUAUCUACAUCACCCAUCAGAGUGGUACAUUUGUUAUAACUGAUAAAUCUACAUUGACACAUCAUUGUCACCUCAAACUCUGUAGUUUACAGUAAGGUCCACCCUUGGUGUUAUACAUUCUAUGGGGUUGCACAAAUUUAUAAUGACUGUAGCCACCAUUAUAGUAUCAUACAUAUUAUUUUUAUUGUCCUAAAAAUUCUUUGUAUUCUGGGGCUGGGGUUGUGGCUCAGUGGCAGAGUGCUUGUCUAGCAUGUGUGAGGCACUGGGUUCGAUGCUCAGUACCGCAUGUAAAUAAAUGAAUAAAAUAAGGGUUCAUCAACAUAUAAAAAAUUUUUUUUUAAAUUCUUUGUAUUCUGCCUCUUUAGCCUUCUCUCCUCCCAACCCCUAGAAAAUACUGAUUCUCACCCUUUCCAUAGUUUUGCCAUUUCCAGAGGUCAUAUGGGUGGAGUCAUACAGUAGGUAGCCUUUUCAGAUUGGUAUCUUUUACUUAGUGAUAGGCAUUAUGUCCUCCAUGCCUAGUUUUUUGUAGCUUGAUAAUUCAUUUCUUUUUAGCACUGAAUAGUCCAUGUACCACAGUUUGUUUAGGGCAACUUGGUUUCUUCCAAGUUUUGGUAAUAAUGAAUAAAGCUGCUGUAAACAUCUAUAGGCAGGUUUUGUGUGGACAAAGGUUUUUCAGCUCCUUUGGGAAAAUACUAAGGAGUGAGGUUUCUGGAUACUAUAAUAAGAUUAUGUUUAGUUUUUCAGGAAACCUCCAAUACGGUCUUAUAAAGUGUCUAUAUUAUGUUGCGGUCCCACCAGCAAUGAAUAAAAUCCUUGUUGCUCUACAUUUUGUUGCUUUACAGCAUUGGUACUGUAGUGUUAUUUCAUUGUUGUUUUAAUUUGCAUUGCUUUAAUCAUGCACCACAUGAGGUAGAGCAUCUUUUCAUAUACUUCCUUGUUAUUUGAAUAUCUUCUUUGGUGAAGUCUCUGUUUAGAUCAUUGGCCUAUUAUUUUUUAAUUCUUAAUCUGAUAAUUCCAUCACCUCUGCCAUAUCUGAGUCUGUUUCUGAUUCUUCUUACAGUCUUUUCGGACUGUAUUUUUUGUCUAUAGUAUGCUUGUAAUUUUUUCUUUAUAGCCACAUAUGAUAUAUUAGGUUAAAGAAACUGUUGUGAAUAGGCCUUUGAUAAUGUGAUGGUAAGUUAUGCAGGGAUAGGAAUCAUUUUAUGGUGUUUUGAUUAUGUCUCAGUCUUUUUGUGAAUCUGUGCCUUUGAACUAUGAACUUUACAGGUGCAUCUCAGUAGCCCCCACUCUUACUUGCCCUUAGGUAGAACAAGAUGGCUAGAGUGGACUGGAGUGAGACUGCUAUUUCCCUUUGUCCUGGUGGAGUAGCCAGCUAGAGUUUUUUAUUUCCUUUCACCCAGCUCAGUUAGGCUCAGAUAAUCCCAAAGGGGUUAGACUCUGGUUAGUUUUUUUUUUUUUUUGAGAGCAGAUCUUGUUAAGGAAAACAUAAGCUCUGGUGUAUUUCAAAAUGUUUCCUUUUCUACUCCCUAUGGUAUAAAUAUAAGUGGAUUUUCCUCCAUUGUUCCUGAUGACAACCUGUUAAGCUCUUAGAGGAAAAAUUCACAAAUAGUAGGUGCCCUUCUACAAUUGGAGCCACCUGGGGUUUUUGACUCAAACCUACCCACACUGAGCCUCCGGCAGCUCAUCAAUUACAGUUUAGGUAUCCUUACCCCAGCACUGGUUUCUGCUUAGGUUUUUGCUCUAGUAAAUUGUGACUCUCUGUAUUUACCUGUUUGUCUCUUCAUAUUGAGGCCUUUUAAUCUCAAGUCUCUUACAGGUCUAAGAAUUAUUAUUGAUUUUUCAGUUUGUUCAACCUUGUUUGUUGUUAGAAAGGGGUGGCUACUACCAGAUUUCUUAUGUAUGUGCCAGAUUGAAAAGUAGAAGUCCCUGGGAGUAAAAUCUGGGUAAUUAGCAUAUGUAUCAUCUCAAGCAUUUAGAAUUUGUACUGGAAACUUUCAAAACCUUUUGCUGUUUUAACAGGUCUAAUGAAUUAUUGUUAACAAUAGUUACCCUACCUGUGAGGCACUGGGUUUGAUCCUCAGCACCACAUAAAAAUAAAUAAAGGUAUUAUGUCUAUCUACAACUAAAAAAAAAUUUUUUUAAAGUACAGUGGGGUAGGAGGGAAGAAUAGAAGUUCAUUGGAUUAGACAAAGAAAAAUGAAGGAAGGUGGCGGGAUGGAAUAGGAAAGAGUAGAAUGAAACAGACAUUACUUUCCUAUGUACAUAUAUGAAUACACAACCAGUGAAACUCUACCUCAUGUUCAGCCACAAGAAUGAGAUCCUAAUUAGAAUUUGUCAAGAUACACUCUACUAUCAUGUACAUCUAAAGAACAAAUUAAAAAUCAGAAUAGGGCUGGGGAUAUAGCUCAGUUGGUAGAGUGCUUGCCUUGCAUGCACGGGGCCCUGGGUUUAAUCUCCAGCACCACACACACAAAAAAAGAAAAAAGGAAAAAAGUACAGUAUGUUCAGAAAUAACAAGUCAUUCUCGAUUAUUUAUCCUUAGCAUGUUUAGAAUUUACCUUUUGCCAUCUAAGAUUUUAGUGAACGUUGAAUAAGAAAAAUAGAAAACUUUAUAGAUUUUUUUAUAGCCUAUCAUUAAAAGGUGCUUUGAAAAUAGUUUAGGUUGGUUUAUUUAUUCACUUUUGAAUAGUUCAAAAGCAGGAUGAAAAAGCAAAGCUUGGAUGACAAACAUAAAUAUUUUAUUAGUGCUAUAAUAAAUGAGAAAUUAACUCCCCUACACACAUACUUUUGUUUCUUCUCUUCAGUCCCUAAAGCUCCAGAGAUAGACCCAGUGGAGUGUUUGGUGGCUGACAACUCUGUAACAGUAGCUUGGAGAAUGCCAGAAGAAGAUAAUAAGAUUGACCAUUUCAUACUGGAAUACAGAAAAACUAAUUUUGAUGGACUGCCACGUGUAAAGGAUGAGAGAUGUUGGGAGAUAAUUGAUAACAUUAAGGGUACUGAAUAUAUAUUAUCAGGUAAAAUGACAACAUCUCAACAGUCUCCUUAGAAAAUAACUGUAAUUAUGAAAAAUUUGUUAUUUUAAAGCUUAAAAUUAUUAAGUUCUUUUUAUCCGAGCUGAUUUUUUAGAUAUUUAUUGUAGAAGUAAAUUUGUUUUAAAAUAUCAAGAAAACCUUUGUUUUAAUUACUUAAGGACAUUUGUAACCUGCUAAGAUAGGAUACAUGUAAAAUAAAUAUGAAGCGGUAUUCUGAAAAUAAUAUUUCAAGAGUUACACUUAGUUUUCCCUUUGUUUUCAGAUUAUAUAAAAAAGCUCUUAAUUUUUUAGAUGUACUCACUACCCCACAAUUCACUGGUACUGUAAAUAUUAUCACUUUUGUUAUUUAGUUUUACUUUAAUGUUGAUAGUUAAAGUAGAACUGUGAUUUGGUUUUAGAAAUUUUUGUGUUGGCCUUUUGAAAGACGUUUUGAAAGAUAUUUCAGAAUUAUACUCCAUACUUGUACAGUUAUGUGAAAAUGAACCUCAGUAUUAUGUAUAACUAAAACAAACUAAUAAUGCAAAAAUAAUGGUUAACAAACAAACACAAAAAUAUUCCCAGUAUAGUGGGGACUUUAGAUAUUUUGGGGGCAAAACCCUUGGGAGGCUGAGGCAGUAGGAUUGUGAGUUCAAAGCCAACCUCAGCAACUUAGCAAGGCCCUAAGCACCUCAGCAAGCCCUUGUCUCUAAGUAAAAUAUAAAAAAGGCUAGGGAUGUGGCUCAAUGGUGAAGCAACCUUAGGUUCAAUCCCUGGUACCAAAACAAAAACAGCAACAACAAAAAAACACAGUGUUUCAUAAAUAUAAAAAUUCCUGAGAGCAUCUCUUUUCCAGAAAUCGAAUGUGUUGUUUUGUAAAUUUGUGACAUCUCUCAUUAUAUGAAGUACUGCUUUUCAUGACACAUAAAAGAGUACCUUUUUAUCCCUGAAUUAGGAAAAUCAUAAAUUGUAUAUUUUACUUCUUCUGAAGAAACUAAUAGGUAAAUCAUGAUUCCUCUUAUUGCAGGCAUUAUCACCAUUUUAACAUAAAUUUAUACUUUCCUUAAAUAAAGAGAUACUUCCAAGGAGGAAAAAAAAAGUCUGAAAAUUCAUUCUAAUAUUUUGGGGGAUGAGUCCUUUAUUUUGUGUCUGAAAACCAUUUCAUUUUUUCAGGCUUAAAAUUUGAUUCAAAAUAUAUGAAUUUCAGAGUGCGAGCUUGUAACAAGGCUGUGGCUGGAGAGUAUUCUGAUCCAGUGACCUUAGAGACCAAAGGUAAGAUUAGUAGCUAUUUAUACAACAUGAAACAUCUAAAGUUAUUCAAGACUUCGUGACAGGAAGCAUUGUGUGGCUGAAUUCCUUCCCCACCUCCUCUACCACCCCACCUCUGACUUUCCCCACAAUAAGAAUUAUAAGGCAGGGAAAAUAGGACUAUGGUAGUGAUUUCCAUUUAUGAUUGUAUUCAUAUGAGCAAAUAGACUCAUAGACUUGAGAUGAUAGUGUUAACAUCUAAGAACCUAAGUCAUUCUAGUCUCUCAGAGUAAUUUGGAGUUAGUGGAAACACCCUAGUAUAACAUAUUUGAACACAAAUUUUUGCAACAUUUACUAAUUUGAAGGCCAUAAUGCCAAAGUUCUUCCCAAUUGUGACAUAUAGUAAUUGACUAAACUCUGAACAUUUUUAUAGGUACUUGGAACCUGGAGCUUCCAUUGGCCUCUAGUUUAUAUGGCAUUUGAAUAGAUUUGUAUGCCAGAAAUUUGAUAUGAUUUGGAGGAUGAUAUAAAAACAUAUCAGAAUAAAACAAACUAUGAGGCUUGAAAAUUAUUUUGUGUUUUACAGUGCUGGGAAUCGAACCCAGUGUCUUACACAUUCUGGGCAAGUACUUUACUCCAGCCCCUAACGGUCCAUAAAUUACUGAUGAGACCAACUCAGAAAAAUGUCCAAAAAUAUCUUAAAAAAUAGGUGUAAUUUGAGUAGUUUGUUUGAAUUAGAAAAUGUUUUUACUUGAGAACUACAGAUAACGAAGAUAUGCAAUUACUUUGAAUUACAUGUUAUCAAACUGAGAAGUUACUGUGGUUUUUAAUGAGAUGUUUACCAAAGUAUUGUCAUACUUACAGGUAAUAAUCUUUUCUGUAUUACUUGAGCUGUUUUUAGCCCUUGUCAAAUAAAAUUGCAUUAUUAUUAUAUUCACCCUUAGGAGCAUCAUCUUUGUAUUAUUCCUUUUCAUUAUGCUUUACCAAACUUGGACAUAAACGUGGUAAAUUAUUGAUUUUUAUGCACAUUCCCUAAAUUUAGAAAUAUGAAUAGCUGGCUUAUGGCUUCCUUGGAGCUGGGCUGGCUGCUUCUCUUAGCAAUAUCUGGAUCUCACUAGUCACUCUUGACCUUGGGGUUUGUAGAGGGAGACUAAGUUGAUUAGUCCUUUGAAGCAUUUUUUACUGUUGAGAAAACCCUUUGAGGUGUGGGACCAGACUGAAACGUAUCCUUGAGGGCCACUAAUCAUUGAUUCUGAUCUUCAGGGAGUAACAGAAUAAAAUUCAUUUUACAUGGCUGUGGGUCACGGAUUUUCUGGAGUAUUUUUCACAGCAUUGGCAUGACUACAAAUUAGAACAAGAGCUCCAUAGAAGUAGUUCUACUUUUUAAAAAUUACAUAUUAAACAAUUGUUUACUAAUUUGACCUGCUGUAGUCCUUUUUGGCCAACCAAUAGAAAUAAGCCUGUGGACAAAGAUUGAAGGGAAGGGAAGAAAGAUGGAGAUUAAAUAGUUGAGGCCUAUCAAAGUUUCAUAUCCUGCCACUUAUAGUUCUUGGUAUGGAAAAUAAUGAAUGUUGUUUAUUUGUUCCUUCAGUAUAUUUGUUCUGGCAAGAAAGUUGUCAAAAGUGAUGAGUAAUAAUAUUUCUUAUGGCUAGAAUUUUAAAGAUGUGUUAUCAUUUACUUCCUUGUAAGGAUAAAUGAUAUUAUGUUAAUACAAAAUUUUCUAUAGCCUCAAAUAGUAAUGACUGUGAUAUAAUUUUAUAGUAUCAUGAAAGCAGCUACUAACAAACAUAAAACAUCUGGAUUCUGAUUUUGGUACCCUGUUUUCACAGACUUUUAAAGAUAUGGAAACCAAUAUGUUGUAUAUUACAGGGCUUAUCCAGGACACAGGAUCUCACUUUCAAAGAAGACUUUAUUUUUUAAUAAUGAAGCAUUAUUUCUUAUCUUAGAGAGGCUCUAUAACUUUACUGAGGUUCAAUAAAAGAACAAUGCCCCUCAAAUAGAAAUUAAAGAUGAUACCUCUUGGAUUGAAACCUAGACCUUCUUGUUUGUUUUUCUUUUUCUUUUGUUUGUUGUUUUUAAUUACCCAUAGCAAUAGGACUCAUUUUGACGUAAUUAUAUGCCUUCUUGUUUGGAUGCUGUGUUAUUCGAUAAGUCUGAUCACGAGUGGUUUGAAGAUAGUACUUUUUUCUUGCUAUCCUUGACUCCAGAUUGCUGAUGACCCUUUUUUUCUUCAUUAUAACAAACAUUAAGGAACAACUUUAGGAGACCUUCUUUAUCCUUAGAAUUUUAAUGAGCCCUUGGGAAUUGAUGGCACCCUCAGAGCUAAAGCCUAUUUUUCUUUCUCAAAAAAAAAAUGUAGAUAGUGCCUCGAAUGCACAAGGCCAUGGGUUCAAUCCCCAGCAACCCUCACCCUCCUGCCAAUGUAGGUAGCCUGACUUGCUUAAUAACUUAAAUAUAGAAGUUAACUUUGCUUUCUUAACGGCAGUUCAUUUUGGAAAUUGAGAGUCUCAGUGUUAAUCCUAACUUUUUAGUAACCUGCCUGUUAAGAAAUCAUUUCCAUUUUUACUGAAAAGCUUCAUUGUUUCUAGUUUCUCUAAAUUUAUUUCUGUUUAGAUGAAGGUUUUAUAAGUUAUUAACUUCCUUGUGUAGUAUGACAUUUACUAGAAACUGUGUGGUCAGUAGAUUUGUAUUGAGAAUGUGGUUUUAUAAAUAAAGACAAUGAACAAAGAACUUGAAGUGUUCUUUAUAGAGUGGAGGAUAAAAGGAUUCUUGAUUAACUAGGUAAACUUCAGGCUCUCCAUAUGCUUUUUUUGUUGUUUGGUGAUUUACACUUCACAGACACACUGAAGCCUUAGCUAAAUUAAGUAAUAUACUUAAGUGAGAUAUAUUGUAAGGAGUAUUCCUUCAAUGAAUAAUUAUCAGAUAUUUAAAUUUUGGAGGAAAAUGUAACAGAAGCAGAUUAAUAGAUAGCUUUCAAGAUAGAGCUUCUAGAAAUUACAUUUUUAAAAUAGAAGAAACUACUCAUUGUACAGCUGUUAAUACAUUUCAGUGCUUUUCCCUGAGUUCUAAAAGAGGGAAGCUUAAUGCACUGAUCUCCUAAAUUAGCAGUUUGACUAAGCAAGUCUUGUGAAUAGUACAGAUACUUCCUGAUAAUACCAAAUAAUCUGAAAGGCAUAACUUUGUUUCAUGAUUUUUUUGUUUUUUGUUUUUGUUUUAUUUUUAUAUUAGUGGAACUUUUCACCCUUCUACUCUUUGCCACAUAAAUCAUUUAUCAGCUAGAUCAAUUUUCUCACUCUGCCAGGCUACCUCCAAUUUCUUCAUACUCAUCUUAAUUUGAAACUAAGAAGUGUUUUAAGUAUGAAAUUAUUAAGUAUUAUACUGUCAGAGAAGACAUGUGUGCGCCAGACUUUUACCCUGUGAUUUUUUUACCCUGUGAUUAUAAUAUCACUUUUUCCUUCUUAAUUCCUACCAGUUCCCCUUCCUAUUUACUCAAAACAAUCAAUUGAUAACCAUCGGGUAUUCUAAUAACAGGAAAUUGAGGAUACUGUGUGUUGAUAUAGAUUCUUGUAGAACGAAUAGCAGAAAUACCAGUCCUGAACAUUGAAGGCCCUGAACAUUGCAUUGUAUUGUGUUAGAGUACGGGAUAUUUAGAGGAGAAUAAUGGAAAAUAAGUGAGGAAUUGUAAAUUAAAACCUAAUCAUUGAGAACUUUAAAUGUUAACAUUAGUAAUUUGAAUUUUAUUCUCUGUAUACAGUGUUGAAUCAAUUGACUAGAGAAGUUAUUGCUCAUAGGUGUGCUUCAGAAAGUGGAGAUAUAUAAUAUUUUAUAUUGUCUCGAACAGCACUGAAUUUCAGUUUGGAUAAUUCAUCAUCCCAUUUGAACCUGAAAGUUGAAGAUACCUUGGUAGAGUGGGAUCCUACUGGAGGAAAAGGUCAAGAAAGUAAAAUCAAAGGGAAAGAGAACAAGGGCAGGUAACGUAGCUCAUUAAAUCUGUUAUAUGGAUAAAUGCUUGUACAUUGGUUCUUAUUUGAUAACAUUAAAAUUCUUAUUCUGUAUACCAGUAUGACUUAUGAUACAUUAGUAAUUCCAAAGUGAAAAAUAUAACAUUGCUUGUCAAUACAUGAAUCUGUCAUUAACAUUUUCACAUUACUUUUUUCUUAGUUUCUUUCCUAAUCUCCUUAUACUUUUAAAAAAUUUUAUUAUCCCAUUUCCUUAAAGUUAUAUAUACGGUAACUUGAACUAAUUAGAUGUUCCUAGAAUAAUUUCUGAAUAUUGGGCUUAUCACCUAUCUCACCUAAAAGUCUGCAUUAGAUGACAACUUUUACAGUUUAUAAAAGCCCCACAGACUUGCCUGUGAUGGUGGAACCCAGUGAAUCCAAGAGUCAGGCUCAAGAAUCUUUUGUUAUUGUCAUAACUUACCUAAAUAAUGUCAAAGUUUGGGAACUUUUUUCUUUUUUUACACAGGAAGUUUUUGCUGAAGAUGAAUAUUUUUGUGAGUUCUAACAAUGAAUUUUUAAAAAAUCCUCAGCAGGCUUUUAAUCUAAUUUUAUUAUAAGAAGUUAAACUUAAUUUGUAAAGCAGUCUCUUAACAGUUGCCUAUUUUUAUCUGACAGUGUCCAUGUUACUUCACUGAAGAAACAUACAAGGUGAUGAUCUAUGUCUGUCUAGUUUUAGGACUUAGUAUAUCUAGCUUGGCUGAGUAAUUUUUUCUUUUAACCAGUAAACAGAAGCCACUGCAGCAGGCUUCAAAGCUAAAAUAUUGCUCUGUGUAGACUGUCUGUAUUUUUGUAGCUUAUGUUUUGAAUUUAUAGCAUUAUAGUGUGCUGCUUAUCAUUUGGAUUAUAUUGUAUAAAGAUAACAAAAUAAGCUUUAAAGUCUUCUUUAAUUAUUUUUUCUACUUUAUUUAUAACUGGCAUCUUUCCUAUUGUAUUGAGUUAAAUAUAUCUAACAUUAUUGCUUUGCUUUUUUUAAUAUGUUUAGUUGUUGAUGGACCUUUAUUUUAUUUAUUUAUUUAUAUGUAGGACUAAGAAUUGACCCCAGUGCCUUACACACAUGCUAGGCAAGUGCUCUACCACUGAGCUACCAUCCCAGCCCUUGUGUUUUUUUUUUAAUAUUUAUUUUUUAGGUUAGAUGGACUCAACACAAUGCCUUAUUUUAUGUGGUGCUGAGGAUCGAACCCAGGUCCCGCCUGUGUUAGGCGAGCGCUCUACCGCUGAGCCACAAUCCCAGUCCCCAGCCUUUGCUUUGCUUUUAUUUGUAUUCAACACGAAGCAAGUUUGAAAUGUUCUGUAUUUUAUAAUAAUCAUGCAGCUUCCAAAGUAUCAAGGUUAAGAAAUAAAAGUCACUGCAGAAAUUAUUAGGACAGUGUCAGAAAAAAAUGAAUAAUUUCAAAUUACAUGGUUAAUAACAUGUUUAUUGAAGAUACCGUAUAUCUUUACCAGAAACCAGAAUAUAUUCUCUUUUCAAAGUUACCUCCACUCUUCUUUUCAGUUUAUUUGUUCAUUAUUGAUAAAAGUGAUUUCACAGUGUGCUAUAAAUUAUAAAAUGCUGUUGGGUUUAAUAGUCUUACAAAGUUUUAUUUGGUUACUUGGACGAUUUUUAGACUGCUUUGUAUUUAGCAUUGCAGGUUAUAUUUCUUUCUCUCUUUUCUCCUUUUAAAAGUAUUUUAUAUGUAGGCCACUUCCGGAAUGUUAUACAGGUUCGGAUCCCUUAUUUGAAAUGCUUGGGACUCAAAAAGUGCUUUGGAUUUCAGAUUUUUUUGUAUUUUAGAAUAGUUGCAAAUACAUAAUUAAUUAUAUUUGGUGGGGACCCAAUUCUAAAUCCAGAAUUCAUUUAUGUUUCACAUAUACCUUGGUGGGGACCCAAUUCUAAAUCCAGAAUUCAUUUAUGUUUCACAUAUACCUUUAUAUAUAUAUGUACAUAGGUAAUUUUAUAUAAUAUUUUUUUAAUGUAUCUAUAUUUUGGCUGUGUCUUGUCACAUGAGCUCAGGUGUGGGAUUUUUUUAUUUGUAAUUAUGUUGGUGCUUAAAAAGUUUCCAAUGUCAGAGCAUUUCAGAUUUUUGGAUUAGAGCUGCUCAAACUACAUAUAUUCAUUUACUUUAAAAAAAAAAAAAAAACAUGGUGUCAUUAAAAAAAAAAAAACUUUUAUUUUGUUUAUUUAUUUAUUUAUUUAUUUUUAUGUGGUGCUGAGGAUCAAACUAAGUGCCUCACACGUGCUAGGCAAGUGCUCUACCACUGAGCCACAACCCCAGCCCUCUUUCAUUUUUUUAUUUUUUCAUACAUAAUUGUUCACUGUUAAAUGUGUGCUGAAUGUUAUGGAGUUUAUAGGGAUAAACACUGUUCUUGCCUCAAGAAAUUUGCUUUAACUCAUGUAGAUAAGAUUGCAGAAAAAAAGCAAGAUAAACAUCAUGUGUAAGGAUAAAUGUGAAUAAAAGGGUUCAGAGGGGAAAGAUGUCCAGAGUUCUCGGGUACUGCGGUAUUCAUUUAGGACAGUGAGCCAAACUGAAAGUCAAGCUUUUGCUGAUUUAUGGUGAUAAGUAAGAAGUCAUGAAGGAAUGAGUGGGUUCCUUCAGUGUUCCAUUUUUCCCAGCAAAUGACACUAGUUGGAGGUCCAAUGACUCAACCCAGAUCACAGUUAGAGGGUCUUCUCACUGCCAGGAGGUUCCAAAUAGAAAACUUCUGCUUUAUGGACUUGAGAGCUAAAAAGGUAGGGACAAGAGGGUUAAAAAUGGAAACAUACUAAGUGAAAGGUCCUUACCGCCUUAUUUGCUCUUAAGGAGGUCUUCCUGAAGGUAUUUAAAAAGAAUCUCAGUAUAGGGUUUCCUUCCCAUGGGGGGCCUUUGAAUAGAGUGACAAGGCUAGGAAUGCAAAUAGCUCACCGUUGGGGAAGAAGAUGAAAUUGCAACUUCCUGUAGAAAUCAUGAUGCCCUAACUAACUAUGCACCAAGUCUGGUAUAAGAAGGGCAGCCCACCCUAUCCUUUGUCCUACCCCUGCAAAUCCUGUCACAUAAAGCCUGUGUAAUUGCCUGUGAUUGAGUAUGAAAGGAUUUUGGCCUGGACUGGAUUGCUAAGAAAAGUUAUUUAGAUGGUAGGAUUUGGAAGACCUUUACUAAAUGAAUGGUAUUAAAUUGCUUCUUGGGGAAGAGGGAGAAUUUGUGGUAUUCAGCUUUGCAGUGAGAGUGGGGAACAACAAGAGGAAAAACACUUAAGCAGACUGAGUGAGUUUAAAGAACCCUUUGGUACAUUUGGUUGUGUAAUACUCUCUAGGGUGAGAAGGGUAGGAAGGCGGACUAAAUCAUUUGUAGAUAAUAUGGAAGUACAUGUUGAUUUUGAAGUAGGGGAAUAGAGCUAAGUUUAUCUUAUAAUAGUGAACAAGAUGAACUGGAUAACAGAAAGAACAUUUGGGAAACUGUAAAAUAAUUUGACCCAAGGAACCUUUAUGAAGCGAGGUGGGAGGUCAUGUUUUUACUUAAGAUGUUAAUAACUAUUGUACCUCUUGCAAAAAUGUACUUAAGAGUUGGAAUGCAGCAAUGGAAGAGUAACCCUCUAACUUUUCUCUGAAACUCAACUGCCAUUCUCAAUAGUUACGACUGUUUUUCUUUUCUCCAUGCUUCCCUUUGUUUCUUUACUACUGGUAAGUCACAAUUUUUUUUCUUAAAAAAUAUUUUUCUGGCUAUCAAGUGAGCUCUUAUAUUUUGAAGCAGUGCUAAGUAAAAAUUUUGUNCUCAUGAGGCUGAGGCAGGACUAUCUCAGGUUCAAAGCCAGCCUCAACAAUUUAGCAAGGUCUGAAGCAACUAAGUGAAAAACCCUAUCUCUAAAUAAAACAUAAAAAGGGUUGGGGAUGUGACUCAGUGGUUCAGCACCCCUGGUUCAAUCCUGGUGUCAAAAAAGGAAAGGAUUAAUUAAAACUACUUAUUUUACAUAAUUAUCAACAUUCAGAGUUGAAUUAACUUGGAAGGAGGAAGAUUAAUGUGCAAUUAAUAUUUUGGUGACUUUGUGAAUUGGGCAAUUUUUGGUGAGCUAUCCUGAAUGACUACUCAUUUUUUUCUAGAGGAGAAUUUCAUUUUAGAUAAGUGGUUUCAAUGAACUUUUGAAGAAUGAUGGUAAAUCAUACUAAACUCAUUAAACAGAUAGUCUGAAGACUUAAACGUUUUUGAUACAAUUUACAAACCAUGUUAAGCCAGUCUUAUUUUUGACCCCCUUUCUUCUUAUGUCUUUCUAUUGAUGUAUCAAAAACAGUGGUUUUUAUACUUUUUUUCCCCUUUUUGUGUACAACAGAGUGGUUUUUUCAAAUGAAAUGUUUCCAGAAGCCUGAGCUGAAAAGAGAAGAGGAUUGCUGGUUCAAGUAGGGAAGGAGCCCUAGAGCAGGUGUCUUCCAGAGUCCUAUAGCAGCCUCUGUGGCAUCUGUAUAGUUCAGGACAUGGUUUGAAAACUACCCACUUCGAAAUACUUUGUCCCCCAACAGAAGAUAAAAAUAAUGCUACAUUUAAAAGAAAAUUCAGAGGAAAUGACUGUUAUCUUUUCUCCUUAGUUCAAGAUAAAAUACUUGAAAAUACACAGACCUUUUAUAAGGUCUUUUGUGUGUGUUGGGGAGCGUAUUGGUAAUUUAAUCCAGAGUUGCUCUACCACUGAGCUACAUCUUCAGUCUUUUUUAUUUUUUGGGAUAGGAUCUAACAAAGUUGCUGGUCUUGAACUUGUGAUCCUUCUGCCUCAACCUCUGGAAUAGCUGGGAAGGUUUUUAAACAUUCUUGAUUAGCUUAUAUGAAAAGUAUCAGAAAGAAAAUUGUGAUGCAGUGUUUUUUUCUUAAUGUCAACUUAAGAUGUCAUUGACAGAAUGUAGAAUUUGAUUUCUUACUACUUAAUGACACCUCCCCCCAAAGGCAUAUACAAAUGUUUAUUUUGGAAAGUAGAUAACACAUUUAAGAGAGAAUGGGAGCAGUCUCAAAAAAGAGAUGCCUUGGGGUAAAGCAAGGAAUAUUCCUAGGGAGCAUGUGGGUUAUCUCCAGAGGGAGAGACAGCAACCCAUUAGUGUGGGCCACUCAUGUUUAUAGAGGGCAAGUGCUAGGGGAUGAACUAGAGGUGGAGCCAGAGUGGAGCUACACAGUUUUGCACCAGUUUCCCUUUGCUUGUGCAUUUCCUUAACAUGCAUGGGCCAAGGGCAUGUAGCUCAAGAUUGACAAUUGUGCUUUCUGCAUGUCAAUGGCUAGUGGGCAUUUCCUUUAAGACUCUCUCUCUUUAUCCUAAAUCCCUGUGUCCUAUGUAAUGACUUUUAAUAUUAUAUAAUAAGUAUUAUCUUAGAAAACCUGGUUAAAUCAAACUUUAAGAAAUUAAAACGUAUUUAUUCAGAAUAAUGGGUAUAAAUUUUUCUUCUUUUUUAUUUAUUUGUAUCCUCUGUUUUGGAGAAGGUCCCCAAAACACUUCUAGAUUUCUUCUACCCAUCAAAUGUUUGUUCUCUCCCUUCCCAAUAGGAAGCAACUACUAACCGCCUACCUGAGCACAAGUUUCAGAGAAAUUUUAAUCUACCUGUCCUUAACCACCUCAGUUCAUGCUGUCUGUUCAAAUAGAAUUUAUAAUUAAUUACUUAAGUAUCUUUUUAAAGAAAUAUCUUUAUAAAAAGAACUUUUAACAUCAUUUUGGAAGAAUUAAACCAACUCAUGUAAAUGCUGUAGGUAUAAAGUGCUGCUUAAUAUCAUUUACUAGAAUGUAGACAAAGUGGUCCUGAAUUCAUUGUUUAAUUCUCUGAAACUGCUUAAUAAAUCUGCUAACAUUGACAACAUUUAAGUAAUGCAUAAUGCAGUCACUUAAUCAUGUAAAAUGACUUUAAAUCGUAUCUUUAUUCUUAUUUUGCAUUUUUAUGGGAUUUUUAUUACAAUAUUAUUUGAUAGCUUAUUAAAAUUUACUAAGUUGAUUUCUCCUUAGGAAGAAAAAUUCUAAUGCAAAUAUAUUGAAAAAGUCUUAUUUUUUCUUUUUAGUAGUAAGAAUAUACAUUUCCCCUAAAUAACUUUAUCAUAAUCUUAUCCCCAAAAUUAUUGCUUUUUAAAUGCAAUGAUUUGGUAUAUUUAAAUAUUAUUUUAAAAACAUGUUCGGGCUUUAAUCUUUUUGGAGGUUUUAGAGCUAGUGAAAAGCCUAAUCCUGUCUAGUUUACCAUAAUGCAUCAUUUGAUAGAAGAGGUCAUUUUUUAAUAGCAGAAAUGCUUUAUAAUACUUGAUAAGCUUGUGCAUGGAUUUGUACAAGUGCUUUUUCUCUUUUUAAGAAGAAAAGAUCGAGAUCAAAAAUACCUACUGCUAAUAAAAAAGAUUAGUUAUGAUUAUAAGAAAUAUAGCUUUCCAUUGCUUUUUUUAUUAGUGCAUAUUAAUUUUACAACAUGAUGGGUUUCAUUGUGGUAUAUUCUUGACUUUGCUUUAUUUAAAUUUAAUUACAAAUAUAUAAGCUGUAACCCAAUUUCUUUCUUGCUUUUUUUUCUUUCAGUAAAUCUUGUCUCAUUUUGGCAUUGUUUCUCAUUUCAACUGUGUGUUCUUUGUAUAAAUCUUGCUCAGUCUGCAUGACAUUAGUGUUUUCAGCCUGCUUUGUAUUAAUGGCUUCUUACAUUUGAAUGUUUAUAAUUGGCAGUUCUCUUCAAUAAUAAUUCAAAUUAAAUGAUGCUGUUUCUGCAACAUAAUUAGAAAUAUUUUUAAACAUUAUUUUCAUAAUAUGUAAUUUUAAUUUAUGAAACAUUUCCAACAUAAAAUACUUGUUUUUCUUUUUUUUCCUAUUUAUAUAGAAGUGGUACACCAUCCCCCAAACGGACAUCCGUAGGUUCCAGGCCACCAGCAGUAAGAGGCAGCAGAGACCGUUUCACUGGGGAAUCAUACACAGUGCUAGGUAGGAUAAAACAAUAACUCUUAACAGUCUCAAAUUAAAGGCACCACAGCCACACUGAUAAAUUUUCUACUCCUCAGAGCUAGAGCAGUUUCCUGUGUAUUGAAUGAAUCUUUGCAGAGGUUUAUCCCUAUUGAAGCUUAAUUACUUGGGGGCUUUUGAAAUUUACUCAUUAGUCAUACUUUUAAAAUUCUUAUUUUAACUUACUAGUGAUUCCUAAUAUAAGCAUAACCCUUGAGAGGUUGGUAAGGAAGAAAAUUCUGAAGAAUUUUGUACUCAGGGAAAAAAAAAACUACAAAAGUAAAGUUAAGCAAGUACUCUGCAUUUAGUGUCUGUAUGUUAACAUGAUUAUUUUCAAAGAGAAAUUGAAUUUAAUUUUUUGAAUUAAAUUUGUGGAAUGAAUGAUACAUAAGAAUCUGUGUAAUUCCUGAGAAAGAGAUUAGAGUCGAGUAUCUUUCUUAUCUUUUGUAGGAGACACUGCUAUUGAAAGUGGACAACAUUAUUGGGAGGUCAAGGCCCAGAAGGACUGUAAAUCCUAUAGUGUGGGAGUAGCAUACAAAACUUUGGGGAAAUUUGACCAAUUGGGAAAGACAAACACUAGUUGGUGUAUCCAUGUCAACAACUGGCUACAAAAUACUUUUGCAGCAAAACACAAUAAUAAAGUCAAAGCUUUGGAUGUUACUGUUCCAGAGAAAAUAGGUGUAUUUUGUGAUUUUGAUGGGGGUAAGUUUACUUACUUUUUCAUAAGUCAUUUCAUCAUAACUACUUAUGUUUCAGUACUUUUCAUUGGUAAUCACCUCUACAGAAUUUCUGUUAAUAUCAUGGUAAGGACAUUUUGGCCAACUAGGUUUUGAUCACAAACAUAAUCUCAGUACUAGAGUUAGACUGGAAGGGCAUAUUAUGUCUGCCUGGAGCUCUAUAAAAGCACUCAUUUAUAAUAUGCUAAGUCUGAAAUAUUUUGCUAAUUUUAGUCUUAAACACUAAAAUUUUUCUUGUUUUUAUUCCUUCCUUACUGUUCUAUUACCCGUGUAUAAACAAUGGUGAAGUCAGAUUUUUUGAGUUGGAAUAAACCUUGGAAAUUAUCCAGUCCAUCUUCCACACAAUAUAAAAUUUGUAUUACACUAUUUCUGCAGGAGUUGCCACUUCUUUGCUCAAAUAACUUUUUAGUCUGAACAUUAUUGUCUUAGAAGUCCUGUUUCUUGGGAGGGCUCUUGAUUAGGUUUUUCUAAAAUGAACUCACUUUACCUCUCUGUAAUUUGUAAAAAUGUUGUUUUUAAAUUCUGACACCUGAAUAAACACAGAAUUAUAUUUUGUAAUUCACACAAUAAUUCUUAUUUGUUAAAAUGCAUUAAAUUGAUUUCUUUUCAAAUCCUUAUAAUCUCCUAAAGUGAUAUACUAUGUCAAUGCAUUUCUUAAAACAUUGGUUUUACAAUGUUUCUUUCCAAGUUGUCACUUUAAGCUAAUAAUGGAAAAUUUUUAUCAUUUUAAGUCACAUUGGGUCCAGACAAUCCCAUGCUGUCAACUUAAUCACUCAAAAAAGGAAAAAAAAAUUAAUUUGGGCCAAUUUAUUUUUAGUGAUGACAUGUCAGUUUGGUACAUUCUUUUUUACUUAUUCCCUUUGAAUAAGAUGAACCAUUUUCUACAGAAUGACAAAUUUACUGGUGCACUUUAAAAAAUAUAUAUUUUCAGCUACCAGGACAAUAUUUGCUUAUCAUCCUUUCUCCUUUCCCAUAUGGUUAUUUUAUAUAGAUGAUAGGGAGAAGUAAUUUUAGCUAACAGCAUAGAGUACAAAGGGGGAAGCUGUAAUGUAGGAUGUAAUCAGAUUCUGAGAGCCUUGAAAAAAUGUUUAUAGACUAGUCUUUAGUAGUGGGGAGGGUUGGCUGUGUACAUUUUAGAAAAAUAUAGUCAUGUGAUGAUAAUCUUAUAUUAGAAAUAUUAGAAAGUAAGUGAUUAAAAGACGGAAGAGAUUACAAAAAUAAAGAGCAUAAGACGUUUUAGGAGUUAGUCUAAAGUAUAAGGCAUGACCAUGUUUAUUUUGUUAACUAUUAAAUUGUUAUUGCCUGCUAAGUGCUUUUAACACAGGAAGUCCUAAUAAGUAUUUGUUAAGUGAUUGGCAACAAAAACCCAAGCAGUUGGAAAUCAAGAAUGAAAUUGAUGGUGUAAAAUUUAUAGAACUUGGUAACUAAAUAUAGAUUGGGGGAAGAGACAAAGAAGAAUGGAAGGCAGCUCUGAGGUUCCAGCCAGUGUGACAAAGAGGAUGGCAGUGUCAGUGGGUUAAGGAACAGAGAGAGUCCAGUGGAAAACUGAGAUUAUAGCAGGACAACCAUGUGACAUAUUUAGCAAACAUUUAGAAAUUCUUGAACUCAGAAGUAGAGCUGAAACUAAAUAUUUGAAGCAGCAGCACAGAGUGACUACUGAAGAUUACACAGAAUAAUAUGCUUGAACAUUAUUGCACUGUUGUUACUAACUUUGCAAUCAUGUAGGUUGCUUCAUGUUUUGAGAUAAUCAUAUAUAUAAAGCACCAAGUACUUUAACAGUAUACAUAAAUGUUAGUUUCUUUUUCUUACUCUCUGGUAGCAACUGGUUUAUUAAGAGAGCAUUUCAUAAAUGCUCUCUUAACACAGACAAAGCAGCUUUAAAGCAGAAUAGGAGGAAAAGGAAGAGAGAGAAAGUAUCUUUAGGGUUAGGAUUCAAACCAAGAAUAUAGUCAUUAAAGAAAGGCUUCGCGAACUAACAGUCCUAUGGAGGUCAUCAGAUCAGAUUAGAUAGGAGGUCAGAUGGAGUUAUUUUAAGGCAUGAUCCUGUUGAAAGACAGACUGUGAGGGGAUUUGAAAAUUAACAAAGCUGAAGCAGUGAUGAAUAUACUAUGAUUUCAGAGACUGGAGUAUGAGUCUGGCCUUAAGUAGUUAGUAUUUUAAAUAUAGUAAGCCUUAAAUAAAUAGAGGAUUUGGGUAGAGUAAAAAUAAGGAGGAAGAAACUUCCUUGUUUUUUUACUGGGCUCAUGAAAAUUUUUGUUAAAUAAUGAUAAAUAGUUUAUAGCUGAAUAAGUACAACAGUGUCAGAUUAUGGUGAAACAGUAUGGAGAUCUUAAAAACAAGGGGAAGAAGAAGAAAAUUGGAUUUGGGCAUUUUCUUAAGCACGUUCACUGAUUUUUCUAGUGAAAGUAAGUUCAAUCCUUAGAGUUUGUAAUAAAAAAUUAAUGCAAAGAUGGGCCUUAAGUUAUUAUUUUUGCAUGACUACACAUUAGACUUUAUUAGAGUUAUAAUUUCUUGUAUAAUAAAUAAAAGGCUUUUUUUCCCUCUUCCUUUUAGGUCAACUUUCUUUUUAUGAUGCAAAUUCAAAACAGCUGCUGUAUUCUUUUAAGACAAAGUUUACUCAGCCAGUACUGCCUGGUUUCAUGGUUAGUACCUAAUUUAUAUUUUAUUUAGUUUGACAACUUUAAGAAGAAUAAUCUUUAUUAUUUGGGAAGCAAACAUCCUAUUUUUUUCUUCAUAGUCAUCUCCCUUUCUCCAUUCCACUCUCUGAAAUAUGCAAUUUUUUCUGUACAAUUUUGGUAUACUUUGUUGAAGUCAAUGUUGAUAAAUAAAGGUACACAAAUCAUAAGCAUGUAGUUUAGUGAACUGUUAUAGGACUGUAUUUGCUUUUGUAACUAGACCCUAGGAUAAGAAAGAGAACAUUACCAGAAUCUCAGAAGCCCCUGUGCCCAUUUCCAGUCCCUAAUGGCUCGUCUCCAAAGUGUAACCAGUACUGUAAAUUUAAAUACCUUAAGUUCAUUUACCACUUCUUUAUAUAUAAGUGGAAUUAUAUCUUUCUGACUCCAAAUUAUAUAUGUGAGGUUUAUCCAUGUACCAUGUUGUAAUUCCUUCAUUCUCACAGUUAUAUAGCUUUCCAUUAUAUGACUAUAUAAUAAUUUACCCAUUUUAAUUUAGUUGAAUAUGUGGAUGGUUUCCAUUUGGGACUGUAUGUGUAUAUAAUUUCAGAUCUACUCAGUUACAGACUUACUUAUAUAAGAAAAAUUCAUAUUUCAUACAAAUUGAAACAUGGAUUUGAAUUCCUUAUUUUUAAGCAAAUGUUGUUGUUCCUUCCAACACCUUAACAUUCUACAUUUCUCCAUAAAGUUAGGCUACUGUGGGAAAUUCCAAGAUCCAGUUAAGGUCACCAUUACUUUGGUGAGAACUUUCCUUGAUGUGGGGACUCCCUGUAUAAAUCAGAUGAUAUAAUUCAAGUACAGGUUCUGUGGAGUGUUUUAUGUGUGUAGUCUUUCAUUACCCCUAAAUAUAAUCCCCCAAUAUGAAGAGGAAGUAUUUAGGAUAUAUAUGGGUUGAAAACACAGUGCUUUAAAUCUCAUGACAAAUAGUAUUUUUUUAUUCUAGAUACCCUAAAAUAUUAAACUUAAUGCUAACAAAGACUCCUGGUUUUUCACUGAAAUCAGAAGUAAAUAGUGAAUAAAGUUAUUGCUCAUGGAAAAAUUAUUAGAAGAUAUUAGAUGGAUUGUUUCUCUCUUUUUUAUUUUUUUGUUGCCUUUUUUUUUUUUUUUUCACUUUACUACAAAUCUCCACUGUAUUGGAUAUUUUGGGCUGUUUUUCCAAAUUGGCCAAUUAGAGACAAAUUGUUUACCAUAUGGAACUCAGAAGAGAUUUUUUUUUCAAUUCGUAGAUGUACUUUUAUAAAAGAUAUUUCACUUGUAAUAUGAAUCUAUUUCAUGUAGAUAGGUACUGAGUUUAUUCAUUGUUAUUUUCAUUCCAUAUAAGGAGACUAAUUACACAUCUGCAUCAUAAGAUGCUUUACAAAAUUAUUUUAAACUUGUUUUUUUCUUCUUUUAAGUCUUUUGUUUAUUACGUAAAUGAGUAUUAAUAUUUUCAUAUAUGAUUAAUUUUUAAAGCCAGGUUUAUGAGCUAUAAUUUAUAGUAUUGUAUAAUUCUGUGGGUUUUGACAAAUGCAAAAACAAAACCACCAUCAUGAUCAAGAUAUAAAACAUUUCAGCACUAUAGAAAAUUUCUUUAUAUUCCUUUGUAGUGGACGCCUCCCAUUACACCCAGCCCUAGUAAUACGUAAACCAUUUUUAGUCCCUGUAGUUUUGCUGUUUCCACAAAGUCAUGUAAAUGGAAUUGUAAGGUAUAUAAUCUUUUGUUUAUGUAGCAUAAUGCAUUUGAAACUCAUCCAUGUUGUUGUGUUUGUUAGCUUUUUUUUUUUUUACUGCUAAGCGGGUUUUCAUAUAUGUAUACACCACAGUUUAUUCAUUCAUUCACCAGUGGAAGGACAUUUAAGUUUUUUCCAGUUUGGGGCAAUUAUGAAUAAACGUGCAGUAAACAUUCACGUGAGGUUUUUGUGUGAACAUACAGUUUCAUUUCUCUUGGGCACAUAUCUAAUAUAUGGUAGGGUUCCUGAAUUACAUUGUAAAUGUAUGUUUAUAGAUGCAAAAAUUAUUAACAAAAUAUUGGUAAAUCACAUAGAAAAACACAUUUAAUAGAUAUUGCACCAUGAUCAAGUGGUUUUCAUCCCAGGUGUGCAAGGUUGGUUCAACAUAUGCAAAUCAAUAAAUGUAAUUCAUCACAUUAAGUAGAAUUAAGGACAAGAAUCGCAUGGUUAUCUCAAUAGAUGAAGAAAAUGUAUUUGACAAAGUCACACCCAUUCCUGUUCAAAACACUAGAGAAGCUAAGGAUAGAAGGAACUUAUCUCAACAUUGUAAUAGCUAUAUAUGACAAACCCAAGGCCAGCAUUACACUGAAUGAAGAAAAACUGAAAGCAUUUUCACUGAAAACAGGAACAAGACAAAGAUGCCCACUCUCACCACUCCUAUUCAACAUAGUUCUUGAAACUAUAGCCAGAGAAAUCAGGCAAGAGAAGGAAAUUAAAGGAAUACUAAUAGAAAAAAAAAAAAAAAAAAAGCUCAAAUUACCCCUGUUUACUUAUGACAUGAUCCUCUACUUUUUAGACCCAAAAAACUCUACCAGAAGAUUUCUAGAGCUGAUAAACACAUUUAGUAAAGUAGCAGGAUACAUAAAUCAAUCACUUUCUUAUGCUCUAAUAACGAAUCUGCUGAAAAAGAAAUUAGGAAAACUGCUCUCAUUCACAAUAACCUUUAAAAAAAAAAGUAAAAUAAAAUACUUGGGAAUUAACCUAAUGAAGGAUGUGAAGGACGUCUACAUUGAAAACUAGAACACUGAAGAAAGAAAUUUAAGAAGACUUAGAGGAUGGAAAGGCCUCCCAUGUUCUUAGAUAUGCAGAAUUAAUAUUGUCAAAAUGGCCAUACUACCAAAAGUAUUUGAUGCAAUCUCCAUCAAAAUGACAUUUUGCACAGAACUAGAAAAAGCAGUUCUAAAAUUCAUUUGGAAAAAUAAGAAACCCAGAAUAGCUAAAGUAAUCCUGAGCAAAAAAGAGUUAUGAUGGAGGUACUGCAGGCAUCAUGAUACUGGACAUCAAAUUAUACUACAGAGCUAUAUUAACAGAAACAGCAUGGUACUGGCACCAAAACAGACAUGAAGACCAAUGGAAAUGAAUAGAAAAACAGAGACAAACCCACAUAAAUACAGUUAUCUGAUGGUAGACAAAGAUGCCAAAAACAUGUUGGAGAUAAUACACACUUUUUAAUAAAUAGUGCUGGGAAAACUGGAAAUCCACAUGUAGAAGAAUGAAACUUGACCCCUCUCACCCCACACAAAUCAACUCAAAGUGGAUCAAAGACCUAGGAAUUAGACCAAAAAUUCUGCAACUACUAGAAGAAAAUGUAGGCCCAAUGCUUGAACAUGUUGGCACAGGAACCAGCUUCCUUCAUGAGACUCCUAAGGUCCAAUAAAUAAUACCAAAGAUCAAUAAGUGAGAUGGCAUCAAAUUAAAAAGCUUUUGGCUGGGAGUGGUGACACAUGCCUGUAAUCCCAGCAACUAGGGAGACAGGAGGAUUGUGAGUUCAAAGCCAGCCUUAGCAGAAGUGAGACACUAAGCAACUCAGUGAGACUCUGUCUCUAAAUAAAAACAAAAUUGGGCUGGGGAUGUGGCUCAGUGGUUGAAUGCCCCUGAGUUCAAUCCCUGGUAUAGAAAAAAGAAAAAAAAAAUUGCAUGGCAAAAGAAACAAGAGUAUGGAGAGGGCCUUGAGAAUGGGAGAAGAUCUUUGCCACGUGCUCCUCAGGUAGGACGCUAGAAUAUAUAUAAAGAACUUAGAAAACAACAUUAGGAAAAACAACACAAUAAAUUGCCGCAGUCUGGCUGGGCACAAAUGCCGCAGUCUGGCUGGGCACACAAUCACGAGCCACCACACAGCUUGUAGAUUCAAACAGCAACUCUUUAUUCCGGAACUCACACCAGCCGUCUACAAUCACGUUCUGGGGAAAUCCACGUUCUCUGCCCAAAUCCACGUCCACUGGGCUUCUAUCUCCAAAAUAUAUUGUCUGAAUCCCGUGAGAACUCAAGGGGAACUCAGGCAGCAGGAUACGCCCUAUUCCCAGCAGGAAUAAUCUUAAACCUUAAACCUGGAACCUAAACUGGGAACGCCCUAAACACGAUUAUCUUAAAACCGGGAACACCCUAAUCUGCCUUGGUCCUUGAGCAAGGUCACGUACAUUCAAUGUCACUGCAACAUGUCAGCAACAUGGGGUACGCUGGCAAGGAAAUUGUCAUACCUAUUUGGCUAAUGGCUCCCAGCAAUAAAUAGGCAAAAGAACUAAAUGGACACUUCUCAGAAGAAAUACAAAUGGUCAUAAAUAUAAGAAAAAAUGUUCAGCAUCUCUAGAAAUAGGGCAAUGCAAAUCAAAACUACAUUGGUAUUUCCUAAUGGCAGUUAAUAAUAAAUGUUGGUGAGGAUGUGGAGGGGAAAGUAUACUCUCAUUGUUGGUGUGAUUCCAAAUUAUUGCAACCACUCUCACUUCUCAGUACGUAUCCAAAAGAUGUAAGAUCAGCAUAUUAUAGGAAUGUAGCCACAUCAAUGUUUAUAGCAGCACAAUUCCAACAGCCAAGUUAUUAAGCCAACUGAGGUUCCCCUUCCAACAAAUGAAUGGAUAAAGAAAAAUAUAUAUAUAUAUAUAUACACACACACACACAAUGGAGCAUUACUAAGCCACAAAAAAGAAUGAAAUUAUGACAUUUGCUGGUAAAUGUAUGGAACUGGAGACUAUAAUGCUAAGUGAAAUAAGCCAGUCCCUCAAAGUCAAAGGUAAAAUGUUUUCUCUCAUAUUCAGAAGCCAGUCCAGAAUAAGGGAGGAAGGGAGUGGGGGAGAGAAAAGGUGAGGGAAUUCCAUCAGAAUUGAAGAAAGAUUAGUGGACUAUAUUAAGGGGAUUGAGGGGCAGGGAAGAGGGACAGGCUAAGGGAAUAACAGUGGAAUGAAUCUGAUCUAACUUUCCUAUGUACAUAUAUGAAUAUACAGUCUCACCAUCAUGCAUAUCCAUGACAUUAAUAAAAAAAAAACUAAUAGAUCAGGAGAAUAGAGGGAAGGAACAUGGGGAGGAAAGAGAAGGAGGAAAGGGCAAGUACUGAGGACUAAAUUAGAGCAAAUUAUGUUCUUUUAUAAUUAUUUCAAAAUGAAUCUUAAUAUUACAUAUAAUAAAAAGAACCAAUAAAAAUUCUUUUUCCUUAAAAGCUUUGUAAAAAGCUACCAAAAUGUUUGCCACGGUGGCUGUACCAUUUUUGCAUUACAACAGCCAUGUUUAAGUUUUUCAUAUCCUUGUAUCAUUUGGUAUUGUCAAAUUUUUCUUACUGUCCACAAGCCAUUUUCUUACUGUCCAUAAGCCAUAUAUAGUGGGUUUUUUAUCCUGUUGUUAUUUGCAUUUUCCUACUGACAAAUUAUGUUGAGCAUAUCUUUUCAUGCACUUAUUUUCCACUUGCAUAAUUUCUCUGGUGAAGUAUGUGUUACAAUUCUCUACUCACUUUUCUUGGGAUAUUAAUUUGUUUUCUUAUUGUUUUAAGAGUUCUUUAUAAAUUUUGGGUAUAAAUGCAAAAAUUUUUGCAGAUGUUACCUCCCAGUUCAUAGCUUGACUUUUCAUUUUAUAGACAUUUCCAAAGUGAAGUUUUUUAUUUUCAGAUGAAGUCCAAUUUAUCCAUUUUUUUCCCAUUUGUGGAUAAUGCUUUGCUUAUACGUACCUAUACAUAUGCAUGGCAUACAGGUCACAAAGAUUUUCUCUUGUAUUUCUUCCUAAAGUUUUACAGUUUUAGGUUCUCUUUUUAGGUCUAUGAUCCAUUUUUAGUUAGCUUUUGUAUAGUAUAGUUGGAGUUUCAUGUUCUCUGUAUAUUGAUAUCCAGUUCUUCUAGUACCAUUUGUUGAAAAAGAUUUUAACUUUCUCAUUAUCACCUUUGUGCUAUUUUGAUUAAAUAUUUUUCUAAGUCAAUUAAAUAACUUUUAAAAGGUAACCUAUAAAUUUUAUAAUUUGAGGAUUGAUUUGUGUUUUGGGAGUUUAUCAUUACUGAGCCUGCUAGUUUUAAAAAUUUAGAAUGUUAAUUGUAUUAGUUAUAAAUUUUACAGAGCAGUAGAUUCUUUGGUUAAAUACGCUGUGUAGUAAAUACUGAAUGAUACAGGAUAUAAUUGAGAGUGAAUAUACAUAAAGAACUUGAAUUUUCCUUGCACAAACUAAUGAUAAUUUAGAUGGUCCAUAUGUUCAUAUUUUAAGCAUCUUGACUUUUUCAAAUCUUUUUUACUUUAUCAAAUCAGUAUUUUUUCACAUGCAAAGCAGUUAUAUCUUUCAUAAAUUCAUUCAUAUUUUUCAUAAUUAAUAGAACAUGGCAAGUACAUAUGGAUGUUGUCAUUUGCAGUUUUCUUAGAAGUCCUUCUCAAAAAAUUAUUCAAGUUCUUAUUGUUAAAAACACAGGGAAGAAAUCAAAUGGUUUUUAUUCUGUUAACACAGGGUUGUUAGAUUCCUAUGGUAACAUCAAAACCAAAAGCAAUGAUUGGAAUAGGGAAGUUGAUUCUUUGUACACUUUCCUUGGUUGUGAAGGUUAACAUCAGUAAUGAUAGCCAGUUUCUUUUGCACAGAUUGAUCCAGUUCAGUUUCUCAAUUUCUGCAGCCCUGAGUUUCCACUCUUGGGUUCAGCUUUGUUGGCUUCAGCUACCACAAAGACUUCCUUUUGGCCUUUGCAGCUUUAAAAGAAUACUGAGCCUCUCUACUUCCCCUCAGCUCAAAUAUGAAGGUUAUCAAUUUGGGAUCUGUCAAUUUUCAUAUGCAUGGCAUUUGCCUUUCAAAUAGAAAUUUAAGAAUCAUUUAAUUUCUUAAAAAAAAAAGAAUCAUUGAAUUUCUGAUUUGAGUUGAAAUCUGACUUGAGAUUUGUUUUUGUCUUUUCUUAGGUUUGGUGUGGUGGACUUUCUUUGAGUACUGGGAUGCAGGUUCCAAGUGCUGUGAGAACACUUCAGAAAAGUGAAAAUGGAAUGACUGGUUCAGCCAGCAGCCUGAACAAUGUUACUCAGUAACGCCUAUGCAGAAUGUUUACCCUCCCUCUUGACUGGGUGGCCUUUUCUGUGCAGUUACCUAUCACAGAAAUUUGUGAGUGGUGGAAAUCAGGUUUGCUAUGUUCUGCUUUAAGGCCUGGAAUCUCUUAGCUUAAGCAUCUAGUAUGAAGCAUUUACAGGAAUCUACUGUGCAAUAUCAUAGAAGCAAGCAGUUCUGGAGCAAGAAACUGAUGUUUUGAAGAGUAAAUAGGAAAGAAGGCAGUGUUUAAAUAUUUAUAUAGAAACUCGUUUUUGUGUUUCUUUAAUUACUUUUGUUCUUUUAAAAUGUUUAAUUACAUUUGGUAAUCCUAGGGCCUGAAGUGAAAGGCUUUAAAAAUUUGCUUUUCUUUCUUGACUUUCUUUUUUCCUAUCUCAUCACUACCUGUUAUUUAGUAUACACUAAAUCUUUAAAAUUACAUAGCCCCAGCCCCACCAAGGUUUUCUAAAAAUUGAAAUCAUUGAUUGGGGACAGUAGAAGUUUGUUUUUUUUUUUUUUUCUUACAAUGGUGUAUUUCCCCCUUUUAUAAAUAAGUUGAGUUUUGCUAAAUUAACCUAUUUACUGACUAGUUUUUAUCUCAUCUUCUACUUUCCAGAAUAUAUUGGUAUUUCUCUUGUAGUUAUAACUCCAAAUACAGAGUGAAUAUGAAGAAUUUAAAAAGCUUAAAAUCACCCAGAUUUCAGUUUUGUAUCUGCUAUAGUAACACAAUGGCAAAGGGUUUGCUCUGACUACUUUGCAUUCCAUCACUUUGAAUGUUCAGCAAGAUUUUUAAAAGCCUUAUGUUUUCUGGUAUUGUUGUCUACUUUAACCCUACCUUUAGUAGUUAUCUUUGAUAAAAUUCCCCACUCAUAUUUGGCACUGAUUGUAAUUAUACUCAUUUUUUUAAAAAAAUUAAUAGGAAUGAAAAAAUUUUUAACAUGGUUAAGGGUAGAAUACCAAAGGGAUGUACCUAAAAGUAUUCUUUAGUAAUUAUUUAUUCUUUUUAAUAAGAUGUAGGAAAGGUUGAAACAACUGGAAAAAAAUCUACAUAUCUCUGACUUAAUUGGUGUGUUUUUCAACCAACCAUUCAGAGGUUUUGGGGGUUUUUACCCCCUUAUCCUUUUUGCUAAAGUCAUAUGCUUUUUAAAGGGGUAUAAUUCUUCUAAAAAUCAACAUAGUCAUGUUUCCCAGCCUUGGGAGUGGUAUAUUUAAAUUUAAACAAUGAGUGGUAUUGAACAGAACAAAUCUAUUCUUAAAAAAUUGAUCAAAGUUUGUUACUCAAGUCCUUUGAGCUAAACUAAAAGUUAUAAUUACAGUAUUUAAGAUUUCCUUGAGCAUUUUAAAGAAAUUAAAAUUUAUAUUUUACUUAGUUUUUAAUUUCUUUUAUUCUUUCAUUCUCAUUUUAAAUAUCUUGUAAUAUGACAGCCUUCUUCUGUACCUUUGUUGCUUACAUUUGAGUUGUUUUCUAUAAAAAGACCUGCCCUCUUAAAAUUUACUGCUUACGAUAUGAUGUUUUGUUUCAUUGAUAAAAACAGAUGUAAAUGAGGACUUAUAUUUGACCUGGGGUAUUAUUUUCUUUUCUAGAGGACAGAUAUCCACACUAUUAUCUAAUAAUAGGUUGGUAAUUUUAAAGACUGUAAGGCAGUUAAGGGAAUAAAGUAUGUCAAUAGAUAGUCUUGAGUCUCCAAGUAUAAUUUUGGUUUUUGUUUGUUGUAUUUGGAAAGAAAUUUUUGGAAAGUUCUAUUCCCUAUAGAAGGGCUAUUCUAAGACCCAAGGAAACAGGAAUUUAUUUCCUUUCACACUCCAAAGCAGUAAUUUAGUGGAGUGGCUUUGUGUGAAAAGCUGUACACAGUAUAUUUUAGCAAAUACAAAACAAAAAAACCCAGAUGUUCUUGUAUAGAAUUUUUUUUACUAUUAUGUAUUAUAUAAUUGUCUUCUCAUUAAUUCAGUGCCUUUUUCCUCUAAGCAUGCUCUUUCUUCAUGCCUCAUGCAGUGUCAACUGAUAUUUAAGCCAGACAUAUUACAGUUGUGAGAGCCUUCUGUUGCAAGGGCAUGGGAAAAAUGAAAUAUUAAUUGGGCUGAAAGAGUGCAUACAAUUCUUUUUUGUGUUCUGCCAUCAUUUGGAAUUUGCAUAUAAAUUUUCUAACACUCAUUUGCAAAAUGUUCUAAUUUCAUUGGGAAUUAAUUACUAGCAGCUUUGUAGUAAUAAAUUCAGUAAAUCUGGAGUCCAAGCUCACAUCACAUGUAAUACUUGAUAUUAAAUUAUACCAUCAUUACAUCAAAAUUAGAAUCUGAAGGCUCCCUCUCUGCUGCUGCUUCAGGGUCUCUAAAUUAAGAGCAAAAUGUGAAGUGUUUUAGUUUAACAAUUUUAAGUUGGAUGAAAAAGUCUGUCAUCCUCAUUUUUAAACUAAAAAAUAAUUGAAUAUAGUGCCUAUUUAAAUAAUCUCAAAUAAGGUAACUAUUAACUUGAUAAUAUUUAACAUUUUCAUUGAUGUUUUGAGUUAUAAUGAGCUCUCUUGCUCAAUUCAUUAUGGAAAGUUGCUAAACACUUUUAAAUAUCCUUUAUUGCUUUAUUUACCUUUUGUUUUGACAGGUCAAACAUGACUGCUUUCUAUAAAAGAAAUGCAUGAGAAGUUGACUAUCGUAGGUGCAAAAAUUAUGUUUUAUAAAAAUAUGCAUUAGUAUUGCAUUUCCCUCUUACCAGUUGAAUUCCAAGCCAGUUGUAUUAAACUGGAUAUAGAAAUGAAGGAGCUGCCUUAAGCACUUUAGAAAAGGAAAUUUUCUACAAUUCAUUUUGACACUUGCAGCUUACCAUGUCACAUACAUCUUUAACUUUGGUAAAUAUGUAUAUACCAAGCAUUUAAUAAUAAUGCACAUAGAAAUUUAAUAUACAGUAAUUAUUUGAAUGUUCCAGGUAUAGGUGAAUAAAUUUACAGUAUUAGGGGCAUAUCUUGUCUGUACAUGGGUUUAAUUAUUGGCAUCUGUACCAUUUGACAAACCAUUAACUACUGCUAUACAGCUUACCUUGUUCUGCAAAUAGUAACCAUUCCCUGUGUUAUAUAAAGUGACAUAUUAACUUGCAUUUAUUUUCUCAUUUAUGAAAUUAAAGCAUGAAUAAUAUCAUGUAUAAUUUGAACUGUGAUCCUUGGUGGUAUAAAUAAUAAAAGUAAAUAUUUGUGAUAAAAUCUUUUAAUUAGGCUAAGAUAUUGUUUCAUGACUUACUUAGAAUAAUUAGGUUUUUUUAUGUUUCCAUAAAAUUUUUGUUAUUUGUAUAUUAUUAUUUCUUUUAAAAACAAUUUUGGAAAAGGAUAUAUGUUAAAAAUGAUUAUUCCUCAAAGAGUUUUAAAAGAAAGUAUAACAUCUUAUUAUGAAAUAUGUGAUUCUGGGGUUUAAAAAUUUGGCAAUUUUCAAAUCAUCAUAAUUUCUUAAAGAAUGUAUUUAUUAGAUCUGUGUUCAUUGAUAGGCUAAUUCAUAAAACAAAUAUUUGAGUGUCUGUGAUAUGGCAGUGAAAAUUUUAUUACUUUGCAUUCACAUUUUCAAAACUAGUGUAUUCAAUUUAUUGUGCAGCUAGUUUUGCUUCUUUUUAGUAUGCUGAGACUGCAUUUUAAAAAUAAUGUUUUGUUAAAAAGUCAGAAGUGUUAAAAAGUAAAUUUGUUAGUUUUUAAAAAGCUCAAAUUAACUGCGUAUAAUAUGGUUCACUUUUAUGUAAUCACAUAACAUAGGUUCAGCAAAGCUUAUUUCUUGAGUUUAUUUUUACUAGAUAUAGUCUUUCAGAGAAGUGUAUGGUCACUCUGUAUACAGGUAACCAUAAAAUUAUUUGUUAUUUUUAACCAAAACGUACAUUUCAUAAUGCCAGCACUGGAGUAUUAUAAAGAUCAUGUUUUCUUAGCCAUCAUAGCAAGAUUACCUCAUGUUCAUAGUAGUUUUAGUGGGUUUUUUUUUUUACAGUAUUUACAUUUCUGCAAUUAUGUGUGAUUUUUAAUGUCACAUAUGAUAGCACUGUUACCUGGAAUAUAUGAUUAACCUACAUAAACAUUUUUAAUUGGUUUUGGACAUGUCAUAUAAAGGUUAGUACUGGCUUAAUAAACAGAUACCAGAAAUUGCCACCGUACUUUUCUCCUUGGACUACCCAAUUAUUAAGCUAAAAGUAUUUGUUAUUUUGGGGUCAGUAUAGGGUACUGACUUUUGAUUCAUAAUCUUUUAAGUUAUAUUUGUUUAAGGUGAUAUGUUUUCUUAAUAAUACCCAGUCAAUAUAUGUUAGUCCUUAGGAAUGGAUGUAUAGAGGAUUUCACAGUAAUGUAGGGCAGAAGGUAGGUGAACGUGUUUGCUUUGGCUUGGCACUUAUUAAGUUUGGACUAAUUUAAAAUAAGUCAAAUUGUAAGUGAUUGGCAAAAGCCAUUUUAUUAAUAUUGGAACUUUUUGGAGAGCACAGAACAAUGAGAAUCCAUCUUUUAAAAACAUAUAUAAAACAUUUCUGAUAUCUCUAAGGUACCAAAGCACUGAGUCUAAUUCACCUAAUCUAAGGGAGACUCUUUAAAAUCAAAUUUAUAACUAAUUCAUACUAUAAGAUACAUAAUAGCUAAAGUUUUAGAGUAAUAUAAUUUAUAUUAAAAACCACUAGUCUUUAAAAUACCUAUAUGUGAUAUUAAGAUGAUUUUGGCAUCUUUUUCAAAAGUAUUCAAAAUUUAUCACCUUAGCUUUGUCAUAUACUAGGUCUGUGACAAUUGUGUAAAUCACUCAUCACCUUUGGGCCUCUGUUGCCUUACUUAACUCAUUAUGUCUCAAUUUCCCAAAUAUAAGACACCUAUAAAAACCUAUAAAAUUGCUCAAUUUAAGUUUUUAUAGGUGUCCUAUACAUAGGAGGAGACAGUGGGUUAAAAUAAUUGUAACUUGUUCAGCCUACCUCACAGGGCUGUUGUGAGGAAUAAAUGGAUGGAGUAUGUGAAAUUGCUUCAACAACAGCAAAGUGCUAUGUAAAUGUAAGCUGUUAUUUUUAGUUAAUGGAUUUAAGUGUUCGGAUACUUCUAAAUGCCAUUUACUUUGAUAAAGCAUGUUCUUAAAGUGGUAUCAUCAUUGAUUUUAAAUGUGAUUUUUAAAAUAAAACCUUUUAUCAAGAUGUCAUAUAAUAUUAAUUUAGUUUGUGCAUUACUUGUGGCCUUUUAAUAUUUUCUUAUCUAUUUUAAGACUUUUUAGAGUAGUAAAAGUUCUUCCAUGGCAUUAGUGUAUCAGUGUAGAAGUAUAGCAUAAAGAAACAGUUUUUAAGCAAGCUGCUACUUUUCCAUACAGGAAUUUGAACUUUCAGCUUAAGACUACUCAGUGCCAUGUGCAAAGAGUGAAUUUGGCCUGAAUAACUUUUUUUCCAAACAACUAAAUGGUUCAGGAGUUUGUGUGCUCAGUGAACAUUUGACAACAGUAUUGCAUUGUCCUUUUUAAAAAACAAGAUGCAUUUCAAAACCUUGUAGUAAACCUAAAUAUCAUUUAUUAUCUCACAUACUUAUUUUGCUUUAAAUUAGAUUUAUUAAUGGGGAUUUUUACAAGUUAUGUUAAUCUACAAAUUUCAUAUGUCUAUUAUCUGGACAUGGUUUCACUAUGCAGUAAUAAAAAUUCUAAUUCCUCAGGUUUAACCUUUAAGUUAUGGAUGAAGAACAUUAAUAAACCACAUAUAUGCUCAGUUCUGCAACACUGAGUUAAUGAACAUAUUGCCUCAUUUUCCUUAGAAACAACACAAAGCUUUAAAAUGGUUGUCUUUAAAAUAGAGUAUUUGAAGUGUAGUAACUUGUAUGUUUAAGUAAUAGUAUGUUGUGUAUAGAAUAUCCUAGUUAAGUUUUUACAAAAGCACUUGGAAUAUCUCAUCUAAAAAUUAAACAUUUUUCUCUUUCUUUUGCUUCAGUGCUUGA